GCUCUGCGCCGGUGCGCCUGCCGAAACUUUUGGCCGGCUGCGCGCGGGUCAUACGAUCCAUCAACCCCCGCGCGUCUGCAUCCUUGGAUCUGCAUGCAACAUCUUUUUCCCCGAUGCAGCAAAAAUCUGACACGACGCAGCAAUUUUUUCAACGCUUGCAACAAAAAACAAAAAAUAUAGUAAAAAAAUAUCUACGUGAUCGUAGCAAAAAAACGAAGCUGAUGUUGCGUGGUAGCAAAAGUCAAACGCCGUUUGUAACAAAUAUCUACGUAAACGUGUAUGCAACUUUUUAGUGAACGGUUGCAGCAAAAAAUAAUGCAGGUUGUAGCAAAAAUUAACACGGUUGUAGCAAAAGUAAAAAACAUCGAUUGUAACGAAAAAUCCGACGAACUGGAGUUGCAACCAAACGUAUAUGCAUCUUUUUUACUGAACAUAUGUAGAAAAUAAAAACGUUUGUAGCAAAUAUGACGCUGGUUGCAAUAUUUUAGACAGAAAAAUGUUGCAUGCCCAGUCAGCGCUCAGCGCGCGAGCCGCGUGCGGCCGGCCGAACGGUUCGACCGGCGCACCGGCCAGAAACGAUUCCCUUUUUUUAAGGAUAACCUCCGGCCUCUGCAUGAGAGCAAUGUAUGUGGUCCCUUAAAUAAGAAUGCAAACACAAAGUCUGAAGUUCCGAAUAAUCUCUAACGAGUAAACAUAAACCAAAUAAUAAAAGUAAAGGAUGCCACAACCGGGAAAAAUAGGCCAAGUUGCCUAGCCAUCUAUCCUAUUACUGGACCGUCAUGGAGACCGGUUAUAGAUAUCCCGUGCUACUGUCUCCCAUCGGAUAGACCCAGUAACCAAAGGCUUCUUGAUUUCCGCAUGAGUGAGUAAGGACCACAUACGGAUGAAUGCCGACGCCCUGUGAAGUACCUGCAAAAAAUUUAUAUGUGUUUGUCUGUUUAAAGACCAAGUCAUUCCUUCAAUUCCAUAUCGCCCAAAGAAGUGUGCAAACUCCUAUGUGAAUAUGUCUAGCCAUAAUCAAGUCCACUCCAUUGAGCCACGCACCAAACAACGUGUCAAUGCUAUCAGGCGGUAUGAUAUUACAUGCUAUGAGGAUUGUCUGCCAUAAGAUUUUCGCUAAUGGGCAAUGGAGAAAAAGGUGUUUGAUUGUCUCCUCAUCAUCACAAAAGCUACAACGAGUACUCCCCUCCCAAUUGCGUCGUGUCAAAUUAUCCUUAGUGAGAAUCACCUUCUUGUGAACAAACCACAUGAAUACUUUGAUUCUUAAAGAAACCUUGAUCUUCCAAAUAUGAAUCGACUUGGGGACUACUGUUGUGUCAAUAAGGUUCACAUGCAUGGAUUUCAUAGAAAAGAUGCCCUUAUUUGUUAGCUUUCACUGAAGCUUGUCAGACUCAUCCGAUAGGUGAACAUCCAUUUGUCUUCUCACUAAGUGGAUCCACUCAUCCCAUCGAUGUCCUAUCAAAUCACGUCUGAAUUGAAUAUUUAGAGAAUUUGAUUGAAAUACUAUGGCAACGUACGCAUCCUUACGUUGCACAAUAUUGUAGAGAGACGGAUAUUGUUUGGCUAGAGGCGUCUCCCCCCCAACAAAGUAUCUUUCCAGAAUCUCGUAGACCGACCAUCUCCAAUGAUAAAUUUAGUUCUAUGGAAAAAUGAUGCUUUCACUUUCAUCAAACCUUUCUAGAAUGAUGAAUCAUUGGGUCUUGGUGUGAGCUGGGUCAAGCUUUUAGAAUGCAAGUACUUAUUACGCAAAAUUUGUAUCCACCUACCUUCAGUCUCUACAGAUAGUCUCAAUAGCCACUUACUAAGCAGGCAUUUGUCCUUAACCUCUAAAUUUUCAAUUCCAAGACCUCCCUCGUCCUUGGGUCUACAUAUAAUGUCCGAUCUAGUAAGUCUGUACUUCUUAUUUAUUUCAUCAUUUUGCCAAAAGAAACGAGAUCGAUAAAAGUCCAAUCUUUUGCGUACUCCUACAGGUACCUCAAAGAAGGAGAGAAGGAACAUAGGCAUACUUGUCAUGACCGAGUUAAUCAAAAUCAGCCUACCGCCAUAAGGCUAAAGCUUGACCUUCGAGCAGCUUAGCUUUUUCUCAAAAUGAUCCUCAAUACACUUCCACUCUUUGUUUGAAAGUUUACGAUGGUGAAUGGGUAUGCCUAAAUAACUGAACGUAAGCUCCCGAACUCAUAUCUGAAGAGUUGUUUAUAAUCAUCUUGUUCAUCUUUGGCUCUUCCAAAACAGAAAAAUUCGAUCUUGUGGAAAUUAAUUUUAACCCCGGCAACUGUUUGAAAAGGCAAAGGAUAAGUUUCAUGUUUCUUGCUUUUGCUAUAUCGUGCUCCAUAAACAAUAUAGUAUCAUCAGCAUAUUGUAGAAUAGACACCCACCAUAAACUAGAUGUGGUACCAGUCCACCUACCUGACCUUCCUCUUUAGCCCUUCCUAUUAGAAUUGCUAACAUGUCCGCAUUUACAUUAAAUAGGAUGGGUGACAUAGGGUCUCCCUGCCGGAGCCCUUUGUGCGUUUGGAAAAAAUGACCAAUGUCAUCAUUGAUUUUAAUUCCAACGCUCCCUUUUUGUACAAAUGAUUUGACAUUCCCUCUCCAUAUGUCAUCGAAUCCCUUCAUACGCGAAGCUUGUUGUAGGAAAGACCAUUUAACCUUGUCGUAUGCCUUCUCGAAAUCCACCCUGAAGAUAAACCCGUCUAGUUUACUCGAGUGGAUUUCAUGUAGGGUUUCGUGAAGGACAAGCACACCCUCAAGUAUGUUUCUCCCCGACAUGAAGGCUCUUUGACUAGGUUGCACGACAACAUGUGCAUUCUGUGUCAAUCUAUUAGUUCCAACCUUUGUGAACAUUUUGAAGCUCACAUUAAGAAGGCAAAUUUAUCUGAAGUUUUCAAUGUGUACUGCCCCUCCUUCUUUGACAACAACAUAACUGUCCCAAAGUUAAGGUGGAAAAGUUGCAGAUUGUCAUUAAACAAAUCCUGAAACAUCGCUAGUAAAUCACCUUUAAUAAUGUGCCAACAUUUAUUAUAAAACUUGACCGGGAACCCAUCCGGUCCUGGCGCCUUAUUAUUUUUCAUUUGUGAAAUUGCCUCAAACACCUCUUUCUUCAUAAAGGGUGCGGUUAAUAUCUCAAUCUCGUUUGUCCUGAGGAAUAUCACCCACCCACUGCUCAUUCAUGGACAACGUAUUGUCCUCAGGAGGUCCAAAUAGUUGCUUAUAAUACUCAGAUAUGUACACCUUUAGGUUUUCAUGCCCAACAACUGUACCAUCAUCUUGUUCAAGUUGAUAUAUUAUUUUCUUUGUGUUUUCCAUUGGCAAUAAGAUGGAAAAAUUAUGUGUUGUCAUCCCCUUGAAUGACGUGAUGCACUUUCACUCUAACUGCCCACUUCAGUUCUUCUUCUGUGAGGAUCUGUUUCAGAUUUUGCUCUGCCUCCGCUCUUAAUGCCCUCUCAUUAUCUUCCAAGAGGGCGGAUUCGGCUUUUAAAUCAAGCUCAUUUAUAAAUUGAGAUGACAACCAGUGAUACAAAGCUCCCCAAUAAAAAAUUGCAAUUGGGUACUUGGAUAAUCGACCCAACGCCCCCAUAGAAAGGGAGAUGAAGCAGGAUGAAGUACCACCAGAAAGGAGAUGAAGUGUCCCUCGCUGACGAUCAAGAAGGAGGAAAAUCUGAUGCCCUCCAUAAGAGACCAACGCAGCGGCGGCGACCCAACACACAAAUACAAGCUUUGUGACUCCACACCGACUUUGGAUCAUGCAUCGACACAACAACGAACCAGAGCAAAAUAUCCCUUUCAAGGUUUAAGUCGCCGCUACACCAGCCUUGAUCCAUUCCCAAGGGACAGCAGGAACACAUCUCCUUCACACAUUAACAGAUAUGUGUCAGGGUUGGUUGUUCUAGGAUUUUAAAUUUCCAUCAAAAUGACCCUUGUGCAUACGAGCCCCAGGAAUACUGUUAGGUAGUGCACAAUUCCUUCAUACAAAUAUCCAAGCAAUUACAUAAUUUUGGAGUACAAGACCAUCAUGGCCUAUGGAGUACAACAAAAUUGUGGGUGGUCGGGAUGCUGCCGACCUUUUUAGUGAGAAAACAUGGCAGAAUUAUCGCGUGUAGUGAUGAGGACAUCGAUACCAUAGUUACACCCACGACCCCUGUUACUACAUAUAUUGGGCCAAUUACUAGAGCUCGUGCACGCCAAUUAAAUGCUCAGGUGCAUCCAUUUCUUGGGAAUGAUUCUAAUGUUCAUGAGAAUAUUAUGCUGCCUAAACUAGAUACAUUUAUGUUUAUUACUAAUGAAGGGACUAGGAUGGACAAGAGGGGUGAACACUGGAGCAGGAUCAAGCAUGAAGAUGAAGGCGUGCACAAAGGAAACUAGAACCUCGUUUCUAGUGGAGUUUUCAGCAUUUUGAAGCCACAUGAUGACAUGCAAGGACAUGGUCGAAAUAUACAAGAUGAUCUUCCAUGAAUUUUCUCCAAAGUUUAUUAUAGGUUCCGCGUCACCUUAUUUUGGGGUUAGGUCCAUGUAAUUUCGAAAUACAAUUUAGUAGGAUCGUUUUAGAGUUUGUAUUAUAAGGGAAACAACUUAUGAGGUGUUUUCACUCCCAUCUUGUUAAGGUUGGACGAAAUCCCCUCCUUUCCCCCUAUAAAUACAACACUUAAGGCAUUGUUUAAACUUGGGCUUUGUUUAGAUUAAAGUUUGCUGCAGCUGCAACCCAUUCUGCAACUAGACCAAGAUGUCACAUAACCCCACUUUUAUCAAUAAAUCUUUCUUCUUAUAUUCGUAAUAUUCAAAUUGUAAUUUCAGUUUCUUACUUGUUCUUCAUUUGCAUGCAGGGAACAGAUCCUCGUGAUCAGGUUGAUCAUGCUCCGACAUGAUCAAUAACCUCUCAGAGUUGGUUUAGCAAUUGCUAAGGCGAAACCUCUUUGCACUGUCGUAGUCGGAUCAUCAAAAUCUAUUACACCGAAAAGGAUAGUUACCAUCUCAUCAAAAGAUGGUCCACCUUCACCUCUAUCAGGUAGUUGGCAUGCAACGAUCGUCAUUAAUUAGCUAAAUUCCCGAUGGGAUGGAAAUUCGAUCGUGUGUAUCCUUAACAGAGGGGGAAGGUGGGCCGCACAGGAGGACGAGGAGGGGCUAAAAUUUUCCUCCUCCGCAAACGGUUAGCAUGGAAAACCCUAUUCGGCGCUCCACGCGCCGGUUUAAGGGCAAUUUUCCUAACCGGUGCGUGCACCGUGUUAGCAGGCCUGGCCCAUUUACCUGUUUUUUCUUCCUCGUGUGAAAGGUAAAAAAGGAAGGCGACGGGGAGUUCGAACUCAGAAUCUGUUGGUUUACGUACUAGCGCACUCACCACUAUGGCAAAUACACCGAUGUGAAAAGUCAUAUUUUUCCCUUUUUUAUUUUCUCGAGUUCGCAAGAAGCCCCGAUUUUGGGAUGCUUGUAGAACUUUCUAAACCGGUUUUAUGUGGUUCGUUGGGUAAUUUUCCAUCUGGUUCUUAUUCGUUUUUUCUCUCUAUUUUAACGUUUCUUUUUCAAAAAUGAUGAAUUUUUUAAAAUUUUGAUGAACUAUUUAUAAAAAACUAUGAACUUUUUUACAAAUUUGGUGAACUUUUUUUAAGAUCGUUGAACUUUUUUUAAGAUCAAGGAACUUUUUCAGACAUGAUGAACUUUUUCGGAAUUGAUGAGAUUUUUUUCAAAUUCGAAUGGACUUUUUUAAAAUUCAUGAUUUUUUUCAUUUUUUGGAAAUCGAUGAACUUUUUUCAUUUUUUAAAUUGUACCUUUUUCCUUUUUAAGUGCAUAAUUGAAAGGAGGGAGCAGAAAAAACCAAACGGAUUUUAGCGAACGAAUAGUGACGAAUAGAGAACGAGCGAAGGAUUAGUGGGUGAGGCCUAAUAGGGAUCCCUAGUGUGCGGCAACUAAGUUAUUGGGCGCUGAAGGCCGGCAUUUCGUAUUUGACUCUAAAAACGUUAGUUAAUGUGCAUUUUUGUUAACUGAUGCCCGUGUCGUUCAAACUGGGCCAACCCAUCUAGGCGCUUAUGAUGUUUUUGUUUUUUUGAAAAUUCUAUGAACUUAUUUGAAUAUCGAUGAACUUUUUUUCAAUUUCAAAGAAUAAUUUUCACAAUAAAUGAACUUUUUUAAAUAAGGAUAAUUUUUUUUGAAAUUUUAUGAACAUCUUUUUGAAAAUGGAUGGACUUUUUUAAGAUUUAUGAACUUUUUUUUAGUUCAAUGAACUUUUGUAAAGAAUACAUGAACUUUUUUUGAACUUUUAUGCACUUUUUUUCAAAUUUAUUGAACUUUCUAAAAAAUUACUAAACUUUUUCUAAAUUGGAUGAAAAUUUUUCAUUUUAAAUGAACUUUUUUUCAAAUCCUGAACUUUUUCCAUAAUUGAUGAACCUUUUUUAAAGAUAUGAACUUUUAUCUUCAAAUGUGUAAACCUUUUUUAUUUUAUAUUUUUUCGUAAUAGAAAAUUAAAAAGGAAGAAACUGGACAACUUUUUAAUGGACCGACCCAUGCUUGCAGCGCUGCACGCGCCGGAUCGGUAACGGCUGCCUGUAGCGCUGCAUAGGAGCUUCCGUGGAGGCGUCGUAUAGGAGCUUGAUACGUCUCAAACGUAUCUAUAAUUUUUUAUGGUUUCAUGCUGUUAUCUUAUCAACUUUGGAUGUUUUAUGUACCUUUUAUAUCUUUUUGGGACUAACUUAUUAAUUCAGUGCCAAGUGUCAGUUCCUGUUUUUUUUUGUGUUUUUGACUCUUUUCAGAUCUGAUUUUGGAACGGAAUCCAAACGGAAUAAAAUCUCCGAGAUAAAUUUUUCAGAACAAAAGAAGAUCGGGGGACUUGAGGGCUGAUGACCCACAAGUAUAGGGGAUCAAUCGUAGUCCUUUUGAUAAGUAAGAGUGUCGAAUCCAACGAGGAGGAGAAGGCUGUGAUAAACGGUUUUCUGCAAGGUAAUAACUGCAAGCACUGAAAGUAGCGGUAACAAGUGAUGGUGUAGUGAGGUGAAACAUAACAAGCGAAAAGUAACAAGUAACAAGUAGUAGCAACGGUGAAGCAAGUGGCCCAAUCCCUUUUGUAGCAAGGGACAAGUCUGAAGAAAGUCUUAUAAGUGGAAAGCGCUCCCGAGGACACACAAGAAUUUCUGUCAUGCUAGUUUCAUCAUGUUCAUAUGAUUCGUGUUCGUUACUUUGAUAGUUUGAUAUGUGGGUGGACCGGCGCUUGGGUACUGCCCUUACUUGGACAAGCAUCCCACUUAUGAUUAACCCCUCUCGCAAGCAUCCGCAACUACGAAAGAAGAAUUAAGACAACGUCUAACCAUAGCAUUAAACUAGUGGAUCCAAAUCAACCCCUUACGAAGCAACGCAUAGACUCGGGCUUAAGCUUCUGUCACUCCAACAACCCAUCAUCUACUUACUACUCCCCAAUGCCUUCCUCUAGGCCCAAAUAUGGUGAAGUGUUAUGUAGUUGACGUUCACAUAACACCACUAGAGGAAAAACAACAUACAUCAUAUCAAAAUACCGAACGAAUACCAAACUCACAUGACUAUUAUUAGCAUGACUUAUCCCAUGUCCUCAGGAACAAAAGUGACUACUCAUAAAGCAUAAUCAUAAUCAUGAUCAGAGGUGUAAUGAAUAGCAUCAAGGAUCUGAACAUAAACUCUUCCACCAAGUAAUCCAACUAGCAUCAACUACAAAUAGUAAUCAACACCACUAGCAACCUUACAAGUACCAAUCGGAGUCAUGAGACGGAGAUUGGUUACAAGAGAUGAACUAGGGAUUGGAGAGGAGAUGGUGAUGAUGAAGAUGCCUCCCCUCCGACGAGAGGAGUGUUGAUGAUGACGAAGGCGACAAUUUCCCCCUCCGGAAGGGAAGUUUCCCCGGCAGGAUCGUCCUGCCAGAGCUCUAGAUUGCAUCUGCUCAAGUUCCGCCUCGUGGCGGCGGCGAAACCACGAAAAAGCUCCCGAAUGAUUUUUUCUGAAAUAAAUCCUUCAUAUAGCAAAAGAGGGGGGCCAGUGGGCCGCCAGGGUCCCCACAAGCCCUGUUGCCGCGACCAGGGGGGUAGGCUGUGGCAACUAGGCUUGUGGGCCCCUAGUUGCUCCCCUCUGACACUUCUUUCGCCUAGUAAUUUUUAUAAAAUCCAAAAAAAAUCCACGUUGAUUUUCAUGACAUUUGGAGUUGCGCGGAAUAGAGCACUCAGACUUGCUCCUUUUCCAGUCCAGAAUUCGAGCUGCCGGUAUUCUCCCUCUUCAAAUAAACCUUGCAAAAUAAGAGAGAAAAGGCAUAAGUAAGGUUCCACAAAGUAUAAUAACAGUCCAAAAAGCGAUAAAUAUCAACAUGAAAGCAUGAUGCAAAAUGGACGUAUUAACUCCCCCAAGCUUAGACCUCGCUUGUCCUCAAGCGAAAACCAAGACCCAAAACAUGUCCACGUGUUUAGGGAUGAAGGUGUUGAUAAAACAAAAUACGGACAUGAGGGCAUCAUGACCAUACAUAGAACAGGAACACAUCAUAGAGAUUCUUAUGGGAAAGUAACAAUUGCUUCACAAAGCAAAGUAUGAAACAAAAACCUUAUCGAGAAGUGGCCAACAACCGUCCAAAGUCAUUGAAGCAAUUGCAAUUUAUCACAUUAUCAGAAAGAGUCCAAUAAGAGCUUGUAAGGCAAAUCCACAUACUCAAUCAUCUCUUUUGUUUUCCAUCAUUGUUACUACUCACGUGGUACUCAUGGUAUUGAAGUUUCAGUUGGACACAGAGAAAGAUAGGGGCUUAUAGUUUGCCUCCCAACCAUUUACCUCAAGGGUAAAGUCAACAAUAAUAAAGCAUAAGUACUUAGCUCCAAGUUGAUAUAUGAAUAUAGAUCUUUCCCAAGCAUAUGACGUUCACCAAGAAAAAGGCUAAAUAAGGAAUUGGUGAAGAUCACCAUGACUCUUACAAGGGCAAAAAGUAAAUGUACAAGAUAGGCCCUUCGCAGAGGGAAGCAGAGGUUGUCAUGCGCUUUUGAUGUUUGGAUGCGUGUCCUCUUAGUGCGGAGGAACGUCACUUUAUAUUGCCUCCUAUGAUAAAGAACUUUAUUAUGCAGUCUGUCGCUUUUAUGUCUUCCUCAUCACAGGUUCGUACAAAGCUUAUUUUCCACACACUAAUAGAGCAUACAUAUUAGAGAGCAAUUUUUAUUGCUUGCACCGAUGACAACUUACUUGAGGGAUCUUAUUCCAUCCAUAGGUAGGUAUGGUGGACACUCAUGGCAAAACUGGGUUGAAGGUUUAUGGAUGCACAAGUAGUAUCUCUACUUGGUGCGGGAUUUUUGGCUAAUAUGAGGUGGAAGCAAUCGUCACAUGCUAAGGGAUCUCUAAUCAUAUAACAUUGUUUGGAACUAAGCAAACACAAUUCAUUAUGUUGUCUUCCUUGUCCAACAUCUACUUCUAAGCAUGUAAUAGUUUGGCUAGUGCUCACAAUUAUAGAAAGUGCCUAAGAUGAUAUAUUUAUAUGUGAACCUCUCUGUCCUUAUUACUUCUUAUUAAUUGCAACAAUGAUUGAGGUCUAUGUUGGUCUAUCUCAACAAGUUUCAAUCAUCAUACUUGUUAUAAGUGAAGCUAUCACUUUCCAUAAUAUCAUCUCAUGAUCUCUCAUGCUAUCGUUCUUUUCAUACUUUUGAUCACGGCACAAAACAAAGCCCUUGACUAAGAUACUCUUUAUUAUAUAGCUCGCAAGCUCGAAUACAUCGGGGGAGAGACAAAAGUAAAAGACUCAAUCUAAAACAGUAAAGACUUAUUCCACUAAGAGAAGAAAUAAAAACUGAAAAGGAAAGGACUAAAACAAAGGUAAAAGCAAAAGAUAUAAAGGUGAUACGAUACCAGGGCAACUCCCCCAAGCUUGGCAAAAGCCAAGGGGAUUGCCCAUACCAAUGCUUAGUUGUCUUCCUUUGGUGGUGAUGGUGGUGGUGUUGUUGAAGUAGUCUUGAGCUUGUCUAAUUUCCACUUGAGCAAAAAGUUCUGCUCCCUCAGAUCGUCAUUUUCCUCCGCAAGCUUCAACACUCUAUGACAAAGUUCCUGCUUACUCUCGUGCAAGAAACGAGAAGGGAUAAACAAGGUCUUAGGCUUCUUCCUUUGGUCAGGGAGGCUUGACUUCUUGAACUCCACGUGAGUGCAUCCAGGUUGGGGUAAAGGAGCCUCCUCUUCAUCGGAACUCGUUUGUUCCUUCCCCUUGGGCUCAUAGUCCUCUUCCUCGUCAGUAGUCCAGCCAUAAGGCUCCAAGUCCCCAUUAAUCCUGGAGUUAGCAUGAUCAUCGGCCAUAUAGAUCUCUUCUUCUGAAUCUUGAGAAGACAUCUUGACCUAAAUCUGCGGCAGACAACAUGCUCGAAACAUCUUGACCUAAAACUGCACGAUACGGAGAUCAAAACCAUCUGGACCAGAAGGAGUGCUCCGCAAGAAAACAGAGUCCGGGAGGCACACGAGCUGCCGACAAGCCCUGUUGCCGCGGCCAGGGGGGAGGCCGCGGCAACCAAGCUUGUGGCCGCCUCCUGCGCUCUCCAGACUGCUUUUUAUUUUUCUAAUUUUCCAUAAAUUCCAAAACGGAGAAAAAUUCCUAUUGGAAAAGUUUCGGAGUCCAAUUACUUACUGAGACAUAUACCUCUUGGUUUUUAGGGUCUCAAACAGGCUGAUAAACAUCCCUUAUGUACUCCUCUGGAGUUAUGAUAUUGAUGAUAUUGGUCUCAACAUUUAUGGGAGUACCAGAGAUAUAAUGCUUGAUUCUUUGCCCAUUUACCACUCUAGGAAAAUUGCCUUCCGUAUUACUGAUUUUGAUGGCACCGGAAUGAUAUACUUCCUCGACAAUGUAGGGACCUUCCCAUUAAGAGAGAAGCUUGCCUGCGAAGAAUCUCAAACGAGAAUUGUAUAGUAGGACAUAGUGACCUACAUUGAACUCUCGUUUUUGUAUUCUUUUAUCGUGCCAUCUCUUAACCUUUUCCUUGAACAACUUGGCAUUCUCGUAUGCCUGGGCCCUCCAUUCAUCUAAUGAGCUGAUAUCAAACAAUCGCUUCUCACCGGCAAGUUUGAAAUCAAAGUUGAGCUCUUUGAUUGCCCAAUAAGCUUUGUGUUCCAGCUCAAGAGGUAAAUGAGAAGCCUUACCGUAAACCAUUUUAUACGGUGACAUGCCCAUGGGAUUCUUAUAAGCAGUCCUAUAAGCCCAUAGUGCAUCGUCAAGUUUGCUAGACCAAUUCUUUUGAGAUCUAUUCACGGUCUUUUGUAAGAUCAAUUUGAUCUCCCUAUUACUCAACUCCACUUGACCACUAGACUGAGGAUGAUAAGGAGAUGCAACUCUAUGGUUGACAUCGUACUUAGCGAGCAUCUUGCGGAAAACACCAUGAAUGAAGUGUGAACCGCCAUCAGUCAUCAGAUAUCUAGGGACUCCAAAUCUUGGGAAAAUGUCUUCUUUAAGCAUCUUAAUAGAGGUGUGGUGAUCAACAUUUUUAGUGGGGAUAGCUUCUACCCACUUAGUGACGUAGUCCACAGCAAGUAAGAUGUGAGUGUAUCCAUUGGAGCUCGGGAAGGGUCCCAUAUAAUCAAAGCCCUAGACAUCAAAUGGUUCAAUGACCAGUGAAUAGUUCAUAGGCAUUUUCUGACGCUUACUGAUGUUCCCUAUUCUUUGGCAUUCGUCACAAGACAGUACAAACUUACGGGCAUCCUUGAAGAGUGUGGGCCAAUAGAAAUCUGAUUGCAAUACCUUAUGAGUUGUUCUGUCUCCAGCAUGGUGUCCUCUGUAAGCCUCGGAAUGACACUUCUUCAGGAUCUGUCCCUGUUCAUGUUCAGGCACACAAUGUCUAAUAACACCAUCUACUCCUUCCUUAUAGAGGUGAGGAUCAUCCCAAAAGUAGUGUCUCAAAUCAAAGAAGAAUUUCUUCUUUUGCUGGUAGGUGAAACUGGGUGGUAUGUAUUGGCUACGAUAUAGUUUGCGUAAUCAGCAUACCAUGGUGCACUAUGUGAAGUGCGGAUGACAUUCAAUUGCUCAUCAGGAAAGCUGUCAUCAAUAGGUCGUGGUGUUGGGGAACGUCGCAAGGGAAACAAAAAAUUUCCUACGCGCACGAAGACCUAUCAUGGUGAUGUCCAUCUACGAGAGGGGAUGAGUGAUCUACGUACCCUAGUAGAUCGUACAGCAGAAGCGUUUAGAGAACGCGGUUGAUGUAGUGGAACGUCCUCACGUCCCUCGAUCCGCCCCGCGAACAAUCCCGCGAUCAGUCCCACGAUCUAGUACCGAACGGACGGCACCUCCGCGUUCAGCACACGUACAGCUCGACGAUGAUCUCGGCCUUCUUGAUCCAGCAAGAGAGACGGAGAGGUAGAAGAGUUCUCCGGCAGCGUGACGGCGCUCCGGAGGUUGGUGAUGAUCUUGUCUCAGCAGGGCUCUGCCCGAGCUCCGCAGAAACACGAUCUAGAGGAAAAACUAUGGAGGUAUGUGGUCGGGCAGCCGUGAGAAAGUCGUCUCAAAUCAGCCCUAAUACCUCAGUAUAUAUAGGAGGGAGGGGGAGGGAAGAGGCAGCCUCAAACCCUCAAGGUUUGGCCGAAAUUGGAGGUGGAGGAGUCCUACUCCAAUCCUACUUGGAGUAGGAUUCCACCUUCCCACUUGAAAACUCUUUCCACCUUGUGUUUUUUCCUUCUCAAACCUUAUGGGCCUUAGUGGGAACUUAUUCCAGCCCACUAGGGGCUGGUUUAUCUCUUCCCAUAGCCCAUGAUACCCCUUGGGGCGUGACACCCCUCCCGAUGGUCCCCGGCACCCCUCCCGGCACUCCCGGUACACUACCGAUGAGCCCGAAACUUUUCCGGUGACCAAAACAGGACUUCCUAUAUAUCAAUCUUUACCUCCGGACCAUUCCGGAGCUCCUCGUGACGUCCUGCAUCUCAUCCGGGACUCCGAACAACAUUCGGUAACCAACCAUAUAACUCAAAUACGCAUAAAACAACGUCGAACCUUAAGUGUGCAGACCCUGCGGGUUCGAGAACUAUGUAGACAUGACCCGAGAGACUCCUCGGUCAAUAUCCAAUAGCGGGACCUAGAUGCCCAUAUUGGAUCCUACAUAUUCUACGAAGAUCUUAUCGUUUGAACCUCAGUGCCAAGGAUUCAUAUAAUCCCGUAUGUCAUUCCCUUUGUCCUUCGGUAUGUUACUUGCCCGAGAUUCGAUCGUCAGUAUCCGCAUACCUAUUUCAAUCUCGUUUACCGGCAAGUCUCUUUACUCGUUCCGUAAUACAAGAUCCCGCAACUUACAUUAAGUUACAUUGCUUGCAAGGCUUGUGUGUGAUGUUGUAUUACCGAGUGGGCCCCGAGAUACCUCUCCGUCACACGGAGUGACAAAUCCCAGUCUCGAUCUAUACUAACUCAACGAACACCUUCGGAGAUACCUGUAGAGCAUCUUUAUAGUCACCCAGUUACGUUGCAACGUUUGAUACACACAAAGCAUUCCUCCGGUGUCCGUGAGUUAUAUGAUCUCAUGGUCAUAGGAACAAAUACUUGACACGCAGAAAACAGUAGCAACAAAAUGACACGAUCAACAUGCUACGUCUAUUAGUUUGGGUCUAGUCCAUCACAUGAUUCUCCUAAUGAUGUGAUCCCGUUAUCAACUGACAACACUUGCCUAUGGCCAGGAAACCUUGACCAUCUUUGAUCAACGAGCUAGUCAACUAGAGGCUUAAUAGGGACAGUGUUUUGUCUAUGUAUCCACACAAGUAUUGUGUUUCCAAUCAAUACAAUUAUAGCAUGGAUAAUAAAAGAUUAUCAUGAACUAAGAAAUAUAAUAAUAACUAAUUUAUUAUUGCCUCUAGGGCAUAUUUCCAACACGUGGGUCAUCAAGGACAUUCUCUAGCCUAGACAAGUUAUCUGCUACAGGGUUAUCAACACCCUUUCGGUCAACAACAUGCAAAUCAAAUUCCUGUAGCAGAAGAACCCAUCUGAUUAGCCUAGGCUUAGCGUCCUUCUUCUCCAUGAGGUACUUAAUAGCAGCAUGAUCAGAGUGAAUAAUGACUUUGGAGUCAACUAUAUAAGAUCUGAACUUUUCACAUGCAAAUACGACUGCUAAAAACUCCUUCUCCGUAGUGGCAUAGUUUCUUUGGGCACUGUCUAGAGUUUUACUAGUGUAGUGAAUGACAUUCAACUUCUUGUCAACUAUUUGUCCUAGAACAGCACCAACAACAUAAUCACUAGCAUCGCACAUGAUUUCAAAGGGCAAGUUCCAUUCUGGUGGUUGAACAAUAGGUGCGGUUAUCAAGGCCUUCUUAAGUAUUUCGAAAGCUUCCUCACAAUCCUCAUCAAAAACAAAAGGAACAUCCUUCUGCAAGAGGUUGGUAAGAGGCCUAGAAAUCUUAGAAAAGUCUUUAAUGAACCUUCUAUAGAAACCAGCAUGACCUAGGAAACUCCGUAUACCUCUGAUAUCUGUGGGGCAAGGCAUUUUCUCAAUUGCAUCAACCUUAGCCUUAUCAACUUCAAUGCCUCUCUCAGAGAUUUUGUGUCCUAAGAUGAUGCCUUCAUUAACCAUGAAGUGGCACUUCUCCCAGUUCAAGACGAGGUUGGUAUCUUUGCAUCUCUGUAAGACUCGAUCAAGGUUGCUGAGGCAAUCGUCAAAGGAAGAACCGUAGACGGAGAAAUCAUCCAUGAAAACCUCAACAAUAUUUUCACAAAAGUCGGAGAAUAUAGCCAUCAUACAUCUUUGAAAGGUGGCUGGUGCAUUGCACAAGCCAAAAGGCAUGCGUCUACAAGCGAAUGUACCAAAGGGGCAUGUGAAGGUGGUUUUCUCUUGAUCAGAUUGUGCAACAGGUAUUUGCGAGAAACCUGAAUAACCGUCUAGAAAGGAGAAGUGUGUGUGUUUAGAUAGCCUUUCUAGCAUCAGGUCAAUAAACGGCAAAGGAUAAUGGUCUUUCCUAGUUGCCGUGUUCAGUUUCCGGAAGUCUAUCACCAUCCUAUAGCCAGUAAUAAUCCUGUGCGGGAUUAGUUCAUCCUUAUCAUUAGGAACGACAGUGAUACCUCCCUUCUUAGGUACGCAAUGUACUGGACUUACCCAAUCACUAUGAGCAACAGGAUAAAUGAUUCCUGCUUCAAGAAGCUUUAAUAUUUAUUUUCUCACGACCUCUUUCAUCCUAGGAUUUAAUCUCCUUUGAUGAUCAGCAACUGGCUUAGAAUCAGGAUCGGUUUUAAUCUUGUGCUGACAUAGAGUGGGACUAAUACCCUUAAGAUCAUCAAGAGUAUAUCCAAUAGCCUCACGGUGCUUCCUCAAAGUUUUAAUAACUUCUUCUCUUCGUGAUUCGAGAGGUGAGCACUAAUAAUAACAGGAUAUAUCUCCUUCUCAUCAAGAUAAGCAUACUUAAGAGUAUAUGGUAACUGUUUUAGCUCGAACACAGGAUCACCCUUUGGUGGGGGAGGAUCCUCAAGCAGUUCAACAGGCAGAUUAUUCUUGAGAAUAGGAUAUUGUUCUAAAACAAUUUUAUCUAUCUCAUCUCUUUCCUCCAUAUGCAUAUCAUUUUCAUGCUCAAGCAGAUAUUGCUCUAAAGGAUCCGUAGGAGGUACGGCAAUAGAGGCAAGAGCAAUGAUUUCAUCCCUACCAGACGACUCUUUUUCAUGGGGUUGUCUUCCAAACUUGGAGAAGUUAAAUUCAUGAGACACACCUUCGAAAGUAACAGUGACAGUCUGUUUAAUGCAAUCAAUGUGAGCAUUGACAGUGUUGAGAAAGGGUCUACCAAAUAUGAUGGGACAAAAGCUAUCUUGUGCAGUACCAAGGACGAGGAAAUCAGUAGGAUACUUUGUCUUACCACACAGGACUUCUAUGUCUCUCACAAUUCCUAGAGGGCAAAUAGUGUCUCUAUCAGCUAGCAUAAUAGUGACAUCAAUCGGUUCUAACUCAGCAGGUGCAAUCUCAUCUUUGAUUUUGUUGGGGAACGUCGCAAGGGAAACAAAAAUUUUCCUACGCGCACGAAGACCUAUCAUGGUGAUGUCCAUCUACGAGAGGGGAUGAGUGAUCUACGUACCCUUGUAGACCGUACAAAAGAAGCGUUAGAGAACGCGGUUGAUGUAGUGGAACGUCCUCACGUCCCUCGAUCCGCCCCGCGAACAAUCCCGCGAUCAGUCCCACGAUCUAGUACCGAACGGACGGCACCUCCACGUUCAGCACACGUACAGCUUGACGAUGAUCUCGGCCUUCUUGAUCCAGCAAGAGAGACGGAGAGGUAGAAGAGUUCUCCGGCAGCGUGACGGCGCUCCGGAGGUUGGUGAUGACCUUGUCUCAGCAGGGCUCCGCCCGAGCUCCGCAGAAACGCGAUCUAGAGGAAAAACCGUGGAGGUAUGUGGUCGGGCUGCCGUGGAAAAGUCGUCUCAAAUCAGCCCUAAAACCUCCGUAUAUAUAGGUGGGAGGGAGGGGGCCUUGCCUUGGGGUCCAAGGACCCUCAAGGGGGUCGGCCGAGCCAAGGGGGAGGACUCUCCCCCCCAAAACCGAGUUGGACUAGGUUUGGUGGGAGGGAGUCCCCCUCCCUUCCCACCUCCUCCUUUUUUUUCCUUUGAUUUCUUAUCCUUGGCGCAUAGGGCCCUUUUGGGCUGCCCCACCAGCCCACUAAGGGCUGGUGCUCCACCCUUAUGGCCUAUGGGCUUCCCCGGGGUGGGUUGCCCCCCCCCGGUGAACUCCCGGAACCCAUUCGUCAUUCCCGGUACAUUCCCGGUAACUCCGAAAACCUUCCGGUAAUCAAAUGAGGUCAUCCUAUAUAUCAAUCUUCGUUUCCGGACCAUUCCGGAAACCCUCGUGACGUCCGUGAUCUCAUCCGGGACUUCGAACAACAUUCGGCAACCAACCAUAUAACUCAAAUACGCAUAAAACAACGUCGAACCUUAAGUGUGCAGACCUUGCGGGUUCGAGAACUAUGUAGACAUGACCCGAGAGACUACUCGGUCAAUAUGCAAUAGCGGGACCUGGAUGCCCAUAUUGGAUCCUACAUAUUCUACGAAGAUCUUAUCGUUUGAACCUCAGUGCCAAGGAUUCGUAUAAUCCCGUAUGUCAUUCCCUUUGUCCUUCGGUAUGUUACUUGCCCGAGAUUCGAUCGUCAGUAUCCGCAUACCUAUUUCAAUCUCGUUUACCGGCAAGUCUCUUUACUCGUUCCGUAAUACAAGAUCCCGCAACUUACACUAAGUUACAUUGCUUGCAAGGCUUGUGUGUGAUGUUGUAUUACCGAGUGGGCCCCGAGAUACCUCUCCGUCACACGGAGUGACAAAUCCCAGUCUUGAUCCAUACUAACUCAACUAACACCUUCGGAGAUACCUGUAGAGCAUCUUUAUAGUCACCCAGUUACGUUGCGACGUUUGAUACACACAAAGCAUUCCUCCGGUGUCAGUGAGUUAUAUGAUCUCAUGGUCAUAGGAAUAAAUACUUGACACGCAGAAAACAGUAGCAACAAAAUGACACGAUCAACAUGCUACAUCUAUUAGUUUGGGUCUAAUCCAUCACGUGAUUCUCCCAAUGACGUGAUCCAGUUAUCAAGCAACAACACCUUGUUCAUAAUCAGAAGACACUGACUAUCAUUGACUAACUGGCUAGCCAACUAGAGGCAUGCUAGGGACGGUGUUUUGUCUAUGUAUCCACACAUGUAAAUGAGUCUUCAUUCAAUACAAUUAUAGCAUGGAUAAUAAACUAUUAUCUUGAUACAGGAAUUAUAAUAAUAACUACAUUUAUUAUUGCCUCUAGGGCAUAAUUCCAACAGUCUCCCACUUGCACUAGAGUCAAUAAUCCAGCCCUCACAUCACCAUGUGAAUUACAUUGUAAUAAAUCUAACACCCAUACAGUUCUGGUGUCGAUCAUGUUUUGGCCGUGGAAGAGGUUUAGUCAGCGGGUCUGCUACAGUCAGAUCCGUGUGCACUUUGCAUAUAUUCACGUCCUCUUCCUCGACGUAGUCGCGGAUGAGGUUGAAGCGUCGUUUGAUGUGUCUAGUCUUCUUGUGAAAACGCGGUUCCUUUGCUAAGGCAAUGGCACCCGUGUUGUCACAGAACAAGGUUAUUGGAUCCAGUGCACUUGGCACCACUCCAAGAUCCGUCAUGAACUGCUUCAUCCAGACACCCUCCUUAGUUGCCUCCGAGGCAGCCAUGUACUCCGCUUCACAUGUAGAAUCUGCUACGACGCUUUGCUUGGAACUGCACCAGCUUACUGCACCCCCAUUAAGAAUAAAUACGUAUCCGGUUUGCGACUUAGAGUCGUCCGGAUCUGUGUUAAAGCUUGCAUCGAUGUAACCUUUUACGGCGAGCUCUUCGUCACCUCCAUACACGAGAAACAUCUCCUUAGUCCUUUUCAGGUACUUCAGGAUAUUCUUGACCGUUGUCCAGUGAUCCACUCCUGGAUUACUCUGGAACCUACCUGCCAUACUUAUGGCCAGGCUAACAUCCGGUCUAGUGCACAGCAUCGCAUACAUGAUAGAACCUAUGGCUGAAGCAUAGGGGACGGAGCGCAUAUGCUCUCUAUCUUCAUCAGUUGCUGGGCACUGAGUCUUACUCAAUCUCGUACCUUGUAAAACUGGCAAGAACCCUUUCUUGGAUUGUUCCAUUUUGAACCUCUUCAAAACUUUAUCAAGGUAUGUGCUUUGUGAAAGUCCUAUCAGGCGUUUUGAUCUAUCCCUAUAGAUCUUAAUGCCUAGAUUGUAAGCAGCUUCUCCUAGGUCCUUCAUAGAGAAACUUUUAUUCAAGUAACCUUUUAUGCUCUCCAAAAGCUCUACGUUGUUUCCAAUCAGUAAUAUGUCAUCCACAUAUAAUAUUAGAAACGCCACAGAGCUCCCACUCACUUUCUUGUAAAUACAAGAUUCUCCAACCACUUGUAUAAACCCAAAUGCUUUGAUCACCUCAUCAAAGCGUUUGUUCCAACUCCGAGAUGCUUGCACCAGUCCAUAAAUGGAUCGCUGGAGCUUGCACACCUUGUCAGCAUUUUUAGGAUCGACAAAACCUUCGGGUUGCAUCAUAUACAACUCUUCCUUAAGGAAACCGUUAAGGAACACCGUUUUGACAUCCAUCUGCCAGAUUUCAUAAUCGAAAAAUGCAGCUAUUGCUAACAUGAUUCUGACGGACUUAAGCAUCGCUACGGGUGAGAAAGUCUCAUCGUAGUCAACUCCUGGAACUUGUGAAAAACCCUUUGCCACAAGUCGAGCUUUAUAAACGGUCACAUUACCGUCAGCGUCCGUCUUCUUCUUAAAGAUCCAUUUGUUCUAAAUAGCCUUGCGGCCCUCAGGUAGUAUCUCCAAAGUCCACACUUUGUUCUCAUAAAUGGAUCCUAUCUCGGAUUUCAUGGCUUCUAGCCAUUUGUUGGAAUCUGGGCCCACCAUUGCUUCUUCAUAAUUUGCAGGUUCAUUGUUGUCUAACAACAUGAUUGAUAAGACGGGAUUACCGUACCACUCUGGAGCAGCGCGUGAUCUCGUCGACCUGCGUGGUUCAACAGAAACUUGAACUGGAGUUUCAUGAUCAUCAUCAUUAACUUCCUCCUCAACCGGCGUCGCAACGACAGAGGUUUCCCCUUGCCCUGCGCCACUAUCCAGAGGGAUGAGAGGUUCGACAACCUCGUCAAGUUCUAUCUUCCUCCCACUCAAUUCUCUCGAGAGAAACUCCUUCUCGAGAAAAGCUCCGUUUUUAGCAACAAACACUUUGCCCUCGGAUUUGAGAUAGAAGGUGUACCCAACUGUCUCUUUUGGGUAACCUAUGAAGACGCACUUUUCCGCUUUGGGUUCCAGCUUUUCAGGCUGAAGCUUUUUGACAUAAGCAUCACAUCCCCAAACUUUAAGAAACGACAACUUUGGCCUUUUGCCGUACCACAGUUCGUAUGGUGUCGUCUCAACGGAUUUUGAUGGUGCCCUAUUUAAAGUGAAUGCAGCUGUUUCUAAUGCAUAACCCCAAAAUGAUAACGGCAAAUCAGUAAGAGACAUCAUAGAUCGCACCAUCUCUAACAAAGUACGAUUACGACGUUCGGACACACCAUUACGCUGUGGUGUUCCAGGCGGUGUUAACUGCGAAACAAUUCCACAUUGUCUUAAGUGAGCACCAAACUCGAAACUCAGAUAUUCACCCCCACGAUCAGACCGUAGGAACUUGAUCUUCUUGUUACGAUGAUUUUCCACUGCAUUCUGAAAUUGCUUGAACCUUUCAAAUGUUUCAGACUUGUGCUUCAUCAAGUAGACAUAACCAUAUCUACUUAAAUCGUCAGUGAAGGUGAGAAAAUAACGAUAUCCGCCGCGUGCCUCUACGCUCAUUGGACCACACACAUCGGUAUGUAUGAUUUCCAACAAGUCACUUGCACGCUCCAUUGUUCCGGAGAACGGAGUCUUAGUCAUCUUGCCCAUGAGGCAUGGUUCGCACGUGUCAAGUGAAUCAAAGUCAAGUGACUCCAAAAGUCCAUCAGCAUGGAGUUUCUUCAUGCGCUUUACACCAAUAUGACCUAAACGGCAGUGCCACAAAAAUAUGGCGCUAUCAUUGUUUACUCUAACUCUUUUGGUCUCAAUGUUAUGUAUAUGCGUAUCGCUAUCAAGAUUCAAUAUGAACAAUCCUCUCACAUUCGGUGCAUGACCAUAAAAGAUGUUACUCAUAGAAAUAGAACAACCAUUAUUCUCAGACUUAAAAGAGUAACCGUCUCGCAAUAAACAAGAUCCAGAUAUAAUGUUCAUGCUCAACGCAGGCACUAAAUAACAAUGAUUUAAGUUCAUCACUAAUCCCGAUGGUAGCUGAAGUGACACUGUGCCGACGGCGAUUGCAUCAACCUUGGAACCAUUUCCUACGCGCAUCGUCACUUCAUCUUUCGCCAGCCUUCGUCUAUUCCGCAGUUCUUGUUUCGAGUUGCAAAUGUGAGCAACAGAACCGGUAUCGAAUACCCUGGCACUACUACGAGAGCCGGUUAAGUACACAUCAAUAACAUGUAUAUCAAAUAUACCUGAUUUUUCUUUGCCCGCCUUCUUAUCUGCCAGAUACUUGGGGCAAUUGCGCUUCCAGUGACCCAUACCCUUGCAAUAGAAGCACUCUGUUUCAGGCUUAGGUCCAGCCUUGGGUUUCUUCGGCGGAUUGGCAACAGGCUUGCCGAUCUUCUUCGAAUUGCCCUUCUUGCCUUUGCCGUUUCUCUUGAAACUAGUGGUCUUGCUCACCAUCAACACUUGAUGCUCUUUACGGAGUUCAGACUCUGCGACUUUCAGCAUCGCAAACAACUCGCCGGGAGACUUGUUCAUCCCUUGCAUGUUGUAGUUCAACACAAAGCCUUUAUAGCUUGGUGGCAGUGAUUGAAGGAUUCUGUCAGUGAUAGCUUCUUGCGGGAGUUCAAUCCCCAGUUCAGCUAGACGGUUUCAGUACCCAGACAUUUUGAGCACAUGUUCACUGACAGACGAGUUUUCCUCCAUCUUGCAAGCAUAGAAUUUAUCGGAGGUCUCAUACCUCUCGAUCCGGGCGUUCUUCUGAAAGAUAAACUCCAACUCCUGGAACAUCUCAAAUGCUCCAUGGCGCUCAAAGCGACGUUGAAGUCCCGGUUCUAAGCCAUACAAGACUGCACAUUGAACUAUUGAGUAGUCCUCCUUACGUGCUAACCAAGCGUUCUUAACAUCCUGAUCAGCCGUAGCGGGUGGUUCAUCUCCUAGCGCAGCAUUAAGGACAUAAUCCUUCUUCCCAGCUUGUAAGAUUAGCUUAAGAUUACGAGCCCAGUCUACAAAGUUGCUUCCAUCAUCUUUCAACUUAGCUUUCUCUAGGAACGUAUUAAAAUUCAGGAUGACAGUCGCGUGAGCCAUGAUCUACAACACAAAUAUAUUCAAAGUGGACUUAGACUAUGUUCAAGAUAAUUAGAGUUCAACUUAAUCAAAUUAUAUGCUAAACUCCCACUCAAAAAGUACAUCUCUCUAGUCAUUUGAGUGGUUCAUGAUCCACUUACACUAUCCCAAGUCCGAUCAUCACGUGAGUUGAGUAUAGUUUCAGUGGUAAGCAUCCCUAUGCUAAUCAUAUCAACUAUAUGAUUCAUGAUCGACCUUUCGGUCUCAUCUGUUCCGAGGCCAUGUCUGCACAUGCUAGGCUCGUCAAGCUUAAUCCGAGUGUUCCGCGUGCGCAACUGUUUUGCACCCGUUGUAUGUGAACGUUGAGUCUAUCACACCCGAUCAUCACGUGGUGUCUCGAAACGACGAACUGUAGCAACGGUGCACAGUCGGGGAGAACACAAUUUCGUCUUGAAAUUUUAGUGAGAGAUCACCUCAUAAUGCUACCGUCGUUCUAAGCAAAAUAAGGUGCAUAAAAGGAUUACCAUCACAUGCAAUUCAUAAGUGACAUGAUAUGACCAUCAUCACGUGCUUCUUGAUCUCCAUCACCAAAGCACCGGCACGAUCUUCUUGUCACCGGCGCCACACCAUGAUCAUCCAUCAACGUGUUGCCAUCGGGGUUGUCGUGCUACUUAUGCUAUUACUACUAAAGCUACAUCCUAGCAAAAUAGUAAACGCAUCUGCAAGCACAAACGUUACUAUAAAGACAACCCUAUGGCUCCUGCCGGUUGCCGUACCAUCGACGUGCAAGUCGAUAUUUCUAUUACAACAUGAUCAUCUCAUACAUCCAAUAUAUCACAUCACAUCGUUGGCCAUAUCACAUCACAAUCAUACCCUGCAAAAACAAGUUAGACGUCCUCUAAUUUUGUUGUUGCAUGUUUUACGUGGUGACCAAGGGUAUCUAGUAGGAUCGCAUCUUACUUACGCAAACACCACAACGGAGAUAUAUGAGUUGCUAUUUAACCUCAUCCAAGGACCUCCUCGGUCAAAUCCGAUUCAACUAAAGUUGAAGAAACCGUCACUUGCCAGUCAUCUUUGAGCAAAGGGGGUUGCUCGUAAUGAUGAAACCAGUCUCUCAUAAGCGUACGAGUAAUGUCGGUCCAAGCUGCUUCAAUCCAACAAUACCGCAGAAUCAAGAAAAGACUAAGGAGGGCAGCAAAACGCACAUCACCGCCCACAAAACCUUUUGUGUUCUACUCGAGAAGACAUCUACGCAUGAACCUAGCUCAUGAUGCCACUGUUGGGGAACGUCGCAAGGGAAACAAAAAUUUUCCUACGCGCACGAAGACCUAUCAUGGUGAUGUCCAUCUACGAGAGGGGAUGAGUGAUCUACGUACCCUUGUAGAUCAUACAGCAGAAGCGUUUAGAGAACGCGGUUGAUGUAGUGGAACGUCCUCACGUCCCUCGAUCCGCCCCGCGAACAAUCCCGCGAUCAGUCCCACGAUCUAGUACCGAACGGACGGCACCUCCGCGUUCAGCACACGUACAGCUCGACGAUGAUCUCGGCCUUCUUGAUCCAGCAAGAGAGAUGGAGAGGUAGAAGAGUUCUCCGGCAGCGUGACGGCGCUCCGGAGGUUGGUGAUGAUCUUGUCUCAGCAGGGCUCCGCCCGAGCUCCGCAGAAACACGAUCUAGAGGAAAAACUAUGGAGGUAUGUGGUCGGGCAGCCGUGAGAAAGUCGUCUCAAAUCAGCCCUAAUACCUCAGUAUAUAUAGGAGGGAGGGGGAGGGAAGAGGCAGCCUCAAACCCUCAAGGUUUGGCCGAAAUUGGAGGUGGAGGAGUCCUACUCCAAUCCUACUUGGAGUAGGAUUCCACCUUCCCACUUGGAAACUCUUUCCACCUUGUGUUUUUUCCUUCUCAAACCUUAUGGGCCUUAGUGGGAACUUAUUCCAGCCCACUAGGGGCUGGUUUAUCUCUUCCCAUAACCCAUGAUACCCCUUGGGGCGUGACACCCCUCCCGAUGGUCCCCGGCACCCCUCCCGGCACUCCCGGUACACUACCGAUGAGCCCGAAACUUUUCCGGUGACCAAAACAGGACUUCCUAUAUAUCAAUCUUUACCUCCGGACCAUUCCGGAGCUCCUCGUGACGUCCUGGAUCUCAUCCGGGACUCCGAACAACAUUCGGUAACCAACCAUAUAACUCAAAUACGCAUAAAACAACGUCGAACCUUAAGUGUGCAGACCCUGCGGGUUCGAGAACUAUGUAGACAUGACCCGAGAGACUCCUCGGUCAAUAUCCAAUAGCGGGACCUGGAUGCCCAUAUUGGAUCCUACAUAUUCUACGAAGAUCUUUAUCGUUUGAACCUCAGUGCCAAGGAUUCGUAUAAUCCCGUAUGUCAUUCCCUUUGUCCUUCGGUAUGUUACUUACCCGAGAUUCGAUCGUCAGUAUCCGCAUACCUAUUUCAAUCUCGUUUACCGGCAAGUCUCUUUACUCGUUCCGUAAUACAAGAUCCCGUAACUUACACUAAGUUACAUUGCUUGCAAGGCUUGUGUGUGAUGUUGUAUUACCGAGUGGGCCCCGAGAUACCUCUCCGUCACACGGAGUGACAAAUCCCAGUCUUGAUCCAUACUAACUCAACUAACACCUUCUGAGAUACCUGUAGAGCAUCUUUAUAGUCACCCAGUUACGUUGCGACGUUUGAUACACACAAAGCAUUCCUCCGGUGUCAGUGAGUUAUAUGAUCUCAUGGUCAUAGGAAUAAAUACUUGACACGCAGAAAACAGUAGCAACAAAAUGACACGAUCAACAUGCUACGUCUAUUAGUUUGGGUCUAAUCCAUCACGUGAUUCUCCCAAUGACGUGAUCCAGUUAUCAAGCAACAACACCUUGUUCAUAAUCAGAAGACACUGACUAUCAUUGACUAACUGGCUAGCCAACUAGAGGCAUGCUAGGGACGGUGUUUGGUCUAUGUAUCCACACAUGUAAAUGAGUCUUCAUUCAAUACAAUUAUAGCAUGGAUAAUAAACUAUUAUCUUGAUACAUGAAUUAUAAUAAUAACUACAUUUAUUAUUGCCUCUAGGGCAUAAUUCCAACAGAUUUCAUCAUAUAGGGAACGGUGUAUUGCACUAACACUAGCACCCAUAUCACAUAAACCGUGGUAACAGUGAUCUGCUAUCUUGACAGAAACAACGGGCAGGCCAACUACAUGUCCGUAGUUGUCUUUCGCGUGAGGUUUAGCAAUUCUAGUGGAGUCCUCACAGAAUUUGAUAACAUGCCCGUCUAUGUCUUCGGCUAAGAGAUCUUUGAUAAUAGCAACACUAGGUUAAAGUCUAAUUUCCUCACGGGGUGCAAGUGGUCUAAUGUAACCCCUACGUAUCACAGUUGGAGCUUUAGAAUAAUCCUUUAUCCUAGCAGGGUAAGGUGGUUUCUCAGCGUAGGCACAAGGAACAACAAGAUCACUAAAAGCAAUGACUUUCUCCUCAACUAGAUUGGUUUUGGCUAUGUUGCUUUCUACAGGAGGAUGAUAUUUAAACCACUUCUCUUUGGGAAGAUUAACAUGAGCACCAAAAGAUUCACAUAGAGAAGCUAUUAUCUCAGAGUCAAGUCCAUACUUAGCGCUAAAAUCUCUAGAAGUGUUUGUCUCAACAAAAGAUUUAACGCAAUCAAACUGGAAAUUCAUACUUGGCUCCUUACCUUCUUCCAGCUCCCAAUCUUCAGAGUUACGUUUGAUUAUUUCCAAUAAAUUCCACUUGUGGUCAAUAUCCUUCUUCAUAAAAGAACCAGUACAAGAAGUGUCAAGCAUGGUACGAUCUUCAUGAGAAAGCCGAGCAUAAAAGUUUUGAGUGAUAAUUUCUCUCGAGAGCUCAUGAUUGGGGUAUGAAUAUAGCAUUGAUUUAAGCCUCCCCCAAGCUUGAGCUAUGCUUUCCCUGUCACGAGGCCAAAAGUUAUAAAUAUAAUUCCGAUCACGAUGUACUAAAUGCAUAGGAUAGAACUUUUGAUGAAAUUCCAAUUUCAACCGAUUGUAGUCCCAUGAUCCAGUAUCAUCACAUAGCCUAUACCAUGUCAACGCCUUAUCCUUCAAAGAUAAAGGAAAGACUUUCUUAUUUACCUCAUCCUCGGGCAAACCUGCAAGCUUAAAUAAACCACAAACUUCAUCUACAUAGAUUAGAUGCAAGUCUGGAUGUGAAGAUCCAUCUCCUGUAAAAGGAUUAGCCAGCAGUUUCUCAAGCAUACCCGAAGGGAUUUCAUAAGAGAUAUUUUCAGUAGGUACCUCAGGUUGAGGAACAACUCCUCGUGCUUCCGUUCGUGGUGAAGAUACCCCGAACAAACUCCUCAAAGGAACAGUUUCCAUAGUGACAAGUGACAAUGAAUUUCAGCACAAUAUAUAAAUGUUUCCUUACCAAAUUCCACUUACCAAAGGCGCUUCCUCCCCGGCAACGGCGCAUGAAAAGAGUCUUGAUGACCCACAAGUAUAGGGGAUCAAUCGUAGUCCUUUCGAUAAGUAAGAGCGUUGAACUCAACGAGGAGGAGAAGGCUCUGAUAAAAGGUUUUCAGCAAGGUAAUAACUGCAAGCACUGAAAGUAGCGGUAACAGGUGAUGGUGUAGUGAAGUGAAACGUAGCAAGCGAAAAGUAACAAGUAACAAGUAGUAGCAACGGUGCAGCAAGUGGCCCAAUCCCUUUUGUAGCAAGGGACAAGCCUGAACAAAGUCUUAUAAGAGGAAAAGCGCUCCCGAGGACACACGGGAAUUUCUGUCAUGCUAGUUUCAUCAUGUUCAUAUGAUUCACGUUCGUUACUUUGAUAGUUUGAUAUGUGGGUGGACCGGCGCUUGGGUACUGCCCUUACUUGGACAAGCAUCCCACUUAUGAUUAACCCCUCUCGCAAGCAUCCGCAAAUACAAAAGAAGAAUUAAGACAACGUCUAACCAUAGCAUUAAACUAGUGGAUCCAAAUCAGCCCCUUACGAAGCAACGCAUAGACUGGGGUUUAAGCUUCUGUUACUCCAGCAACCCAUCAUCUACUUACUACUCCCCAAUGCCUUCCUCUAGGCCCAAAUAUGGUGAAGUGUUAUGUAGUCGACGUUCACAUAACACCACUAGAGGAAAAUCAACAUACAACAUAUCAAAAUACCGAGCAAAUACCAAACUCACAUGACUAUUAUUAGCAUGACUUAUCCCAUGUCCCCAGGAACAAAAGUAACUACUCACAAAGCAUAAUCAUAAUCAUGAUCAGAGGUGUAAUGAAUAACUUCAAGGAUCUGAACAUAAACUCUUCCACCAAGUAAUCCAACUAGCAUCAACUACAAAUAGUAAUCAACACUACUAGCAACCUUACAAGUACCAAUCGGAGUCGCGAGAUGGAGAUUGGUUACAAGAGAUGAACUAGGGAUUGGAGAGGAACUGGUGCCGAUGAAGAUGUUGAUGAAGAUGCAUCCCCUCCGACGAGAGGAGUGUUGGUGAUGACGAAGGCGACGAUUUCCCCCUCCGGGAGGGAAGUUUCCCCGGCAGGAUCGUCCUGCCGGAGCUCUAGAUUGGAUCUGCUCAAGUUCCGCCUCGUGGCGGCGGCGAAACCACGAAAACGCUCCCGAAUGAAUUUUUUUUUCUGGAACGAAACCCUUCAUAUAGCAAAAGAGGCGGGCCAGUGGGCCGCCAGGGUGCCCACAAGCCCUGUUGCCACGGCCAGGGGAUAGGCUGCGGCAACCAGGCUUGUGCCCCCCUGGUUGCUCCCCUCUGACACUUCUUUCGCCCAGUAUUUUUUAUAAAAUCCAAAAAAAAUCCACGUUGAUUUUCAGGACAUUUGGAGUUGCGCGGAAUAGAGCACUCAGACUUGCUCCUUUUCCAGUCCAGAAUUCCAGCUGUCGGUAUUCUCCCUCUUCAAAUAAACCUUGCAAAAUAAGAGAUAAAGGCAUAAUUAAGGUUCCACAAAGUAUAAUAACAGUCCAAAAAGCGAUAAAUAUCAACAUGAAAGCAUGAUGCAAAAUGGACGUAUCAAGGGCCAAGGCAGGAGAGCUACAGGGGGCCCACAAGCCAUGUAGCCGCCACCAGGGGGGCCGGUGGCUACCAGGCUUGUGGCCUCCCUGGCGCUCCCCUGCCCUAUCUCUUUCACCUAUAUAUUCCCUAAAAUCCAGAAAAAAAUGAGGUCAUCCACGAAAACACUUUUUCGCCGCCGCAAGCUUUCGUUUCCGCGAUAUCUCAUUUGGAGACCCUUCCCGGUGCCGUGCCGGAGGGGACUUUGGAGUUGGAGGGCUUCUACAUCAACAUCAACGCCUCUCCAAUGACUCGUGAGUAGUCCACUUCAGACCUACGGGUCCGUAGUUAGUAGCUAGAUGGCUUCUUCUCUCUCUUGGAUCUUCAAUACAAAGUUCUCCAUGAUCUUCUUGGAGAUCUAUCCGAUGUAAUCCUCUUUGGCGGUGUGUUUGUCGAGAUACGAUGAAUUGUGGAUUUGUGAUCAGAUUAUCUAUGAUAUAUAUUUGAGUCUUUGCUCAUUUCUUAUAUGCAUGAUUUGAUAUCCUUUUAAGUCUCUCCGAGUCUUGUGUUUUGUUUGGCCAACUAGAUCUAUGAUUCUUGUAAUGGGAGAAGUGCUUGGUUUUGGGUUCAUACCGUGUGGUGACCUUUCCCAGUGACAGAAGGGGCAGCAAGGCACACAUCGUGUUGUUGCCAUCAAGGGUAAUAAGAUGGGCUUUUAUCGUAGAUAUGAGAUUGUCCAUCUACAUCAUGUCAUCUUGCUUAAGGCGUUACUCUGUUCUUAUGAACUUAAUACACUAGAUGCAUGCUGGAUAGCGGUCGACGUGUGGAGUAAUAGUAGUAGAUGCACAAAGUAUCGGUCUACUUGUUUUGGACGUGAUGCCUAUAGAUAUAAUCAUUACCAUAGAUGAUGUCACGACUUUGCGCGGUUCUAUCAAUUGCUUGACAGUAAUUCGUUCACCCACCGUCUACUUGCUUUCAUGAGAGAAGUCACUAGUGAACACUACGGCCCCCGGGUCUAUUCACAACUAUCGUUUCCACUUUCGCUUUUACUUUGCUUUGUUUAUUUUUUGCUUUCAGUUCUCACUUUGCAAACAAUCUAUAAGGGAUUGACAACCCCUUCAUAGCGUUGGGUGCAAGCUCUUUGUGUUUGUGGAGGUACUUGUGACUCGACACGAUUCUCCCACUGGAUCGAUACCUUGGUUCUCAAACUGAGGGAAAUACUUACCGCCGCUGUGCUACAUCACCCUUUCCUCUUCAAGGGAACAUCAACGCAAGGCUCCAAGGCCGCGGGGAAAUACUUUGCAUAUUUGCCAAGGAAGUCCCUAUAGGCGUAGCCCGUGACAGAAGGAUUCCUGGCGCCGUUGCCAGGGAAGGUUUGUUGUCGCAGUAGCAGAAGGAUUUCUGGCGCCGUUGCCGGGGAGGAGGAUCGCUUGCGGAGGAGAGAUCAAGUCAAGAUCUAUCCAAGUAGGUGUCACAAACUCAUCUCUUGCAUUUACCUUUUUGCCAGUUGCCUCUCGUUUUCCUCUCCCCCACUUCACAUUUGUCGUUUUCAUUUGCCUUUUUCGUUUGCCUUUUCCGUUCGCCUUUUUGUUCGCCCUUUUUUCUCGCUUUCUUUCUGUUCGCUUGUGUGCCAUGUGCCUUCAGUAUGCUUGCAUCUUCGCUUGCUGAAAAUCUAGUGAUAUGGAUCCUCAUCAACUUGCUAAUCUCUUUAAGAGAUCCAAUUAUGUUGAUCCAAUUGCUAGUAAGUUGAGUGCACUUGACUUUCUUUAUAGAGUUUUGCUUGAGAUGCGUGAAUCUUAAAAUUGUGAGGAAGAAAUUUAUGAAGUGAUUCAUGAGGGCUCCUUGGAUGAAAAGCAUGAUUGCAAUGGUUUCACUAUAAAUUCUAUUAGUGACAAUCAUGCUAAAAAUAUGCAAAACCCUAACCUCAUGAUGAAUAUGAUAUUUGCAAUAAUAUUGAAAGUGGGUUUGGAGAAUUCAUGACUUUAGUUGAUGAUAAUCCCACUAUUUUUGAAGAGCAUCAACUUUGCAUGCAUGUGGAUCAUGAAAACAAUAUCCUAUGUGAUAUUUACAUUGUUGAAUUCGAAUAUGAUCCCACAUGUAAUUAUUAUGAGAGAGGAAAAUAUGGUGGUAGAAACUUUCAUAUCACUAAAUUACCUCUCGUUAUGUUGAGAUUGCUAUUGUCUCUUUCUUCUUCCUUGCAUAUGGUAACUAUUGGUUGUCUUGACGAUCUGUUUUCCUAUAAAAUGCCUAUGCAUAGGAAGUAUGUUAGACUUACAUGUGAUUUUUACAUGCUUCAUGAUGCUCUCGUUGUGCUUCAAUUCUUGUCUUUUGUGUGAGCAUCAUUGAACUAUCAAUGCCUAGCUAAGGGCGUUAAACAAUAGCGCUUGUUGGGAGGCAACCCAACGAAUCUAUCCUUUUUCUUUCUGUUUUGUGUUUUCCACACUUUCAUAAUUCUGUUAUGAUUGUGUUUUUUGUGUUUCCUUUUGCGUUUGUGCCAAUUAAAACCGUUAUGAUUAGUCUUGGGGAUGAUCGUUUGGUCAUGCUGGAAAAGACAGAAACUUUCUGCUCACGAAAAGAAUUUUCAUUUUUUUCCGUAAGAGCUUUUGAGUUGAUUCUUUUUGCUUCUGAUUGCUACACAAAUUCUUCAGACUGUCGUAAUUUUUCAGAAUUUUUGAAGUACAGAAGUAUACGAAGUAUACAGAUUGCUACAGACUGGUUUGCUGUUAACAGAUUAUGUUUCUAUUGAGUUGGUUGCUUAUUUUGAUGAAACUAUGGAUAGUAUCGGGGGGUAUUUGUUGGAAAUAUGCCCUAGAGGCAAUAAUAAAUUAGUUAUUAUUAUAUUUCUUAGUUCAUGAUAAUCGUUUAUUAUCCAUGCUAUAAUUGUAUUGAUUGGAAACACAGUGCAUGUGUGGAUACAUAGACAAAACACUGUCCCUAGUAAGCCUCUAGUUGACUAGCUCGUUGAUCAAAGAUGGUCAAGGUUUCCUGACCAUAGGCAAGUGUUGUCACUUGAUAACGGGAUCACAUCAUUAGGAGAAUCAUGUGAUGGACUAGACCCAAACUAAUAGACGUUGCUACUGUUUUCUGCGUGUCAAGUAUUUGUUCCUAUGACCAUGAGAGCAUAUAACUCACUGACACCGGAGGAAUGCUUUGUGUGUAUCAAACAUCGCAACAUAACUGGGUGACUAUAAAGAUGCUCCACAGGUAUCUCCGAAGGUGUUCGUUGAGUUAGUAUGGAUCGAGACUGGGAUUUGUCACUCCGUGUGACGGAGAGGUAUCUCACGGCCCACUCGGUAAUACAACAUCACACACAAGCCUUGCAAGCAAUGUGACUUAGUGUAAGUUGCGGGAUCUUGUAUUACGGAACGAGUAAAGAGACUUGCCGGUAAACGAGAUUGAAAUAGGUAUGCGGAUACUGACGAUCGAAUCGUACGGGAAAGUAACAUACCGAAGGACAAAGGGAAUGACAUACGGGAUUAUAUAAUCCUUGGCACUGAGGUUCAAACGAUAAGAUCUUCGUAGAAUAUGUGGGAUCCAAUAUGGGCAUCCAGGUCCCGCUAUUGGAUAUUGACCGAGGAGUCACUUGGGUCAUGUCUACAUAGUUCUCGAACCCGCAGGGUCUGCACACUUAAGGUUCGACGUUGUUUUAUGCGUAUUUGAGUUAUAUGGUUGGUUACCGAAUGUUGUUCGGAGUCCCGGAUGAGAUCACGGACGUCACGAGGGUUUCCGGAAUAGUCCGGAAACGAAGAUUGAUAUAUAGGAUGACCUCAUUUGAUUACCGGAAGGUUUUUGGAGUUACCGGGAAUGUACCGGGAAUGACGAAUGGGUUCCGGGUGUUCACCGGGGGGGGCAACCCUCCCCGGGGAAGCCCAUAGGCCUUGGGGGUGGCGCACCAGCCCUUGGUGGGCUGGUAGAACAGCCCAAGAAGGCCCUAUGCGCCAAGGAUAGGAAAUCAAAAAGAAAAGAAAAAAAAGAGGUGGGAAGGAGAGAAGGACUCCACUUUCCAAUCCUAGUUGGACUAGGAUUGGAGGAGGACUCCUCCUCCCUUGGUGGUGCAGCCCUUGGGGCUCCUUGAGCCUCAAGGCAAGCCUCCCCUCCCUCCUCCUAUAUAUAUGGAGCAAUUAGGGCUGAUUUGAGACAACUUUUGCCACAGCAGCCCGACCACAUAUGUGACAGCCCGAUGCCGACGUUCCAGAAGAUUCCCCUCUCUUUCCGUUUUCGUCGUGUGUCUAUUCUCUUUUGUCGCAUCAUCAUCAUCGCAUCAUGCGCAUCAUAUGCAUUGCAUCAGCAUCCCGUUGCCGCCCGUUUUCAAAACCUGCAUUCGCUAGUAGUCGCCGGUUCUCGUCGUUGUCCGUUCUGAGCCCGACCGCACUCGCACGCGCCCGCGGCACCGUCGAAACCCUGUUUUAAAAGUGUGCAUAAAACCUUCUCUGAUUGGGUUGAGAUUUGACGUGCGGUCGUUUUUUUAAUAUAGGUAGGCCGCCUGUCAAGUUUCGUCGCAAUCGGAGUCCGUCUGGUACCCGAACGGUCGUCCGUAGCGGCACCGUCUUCGGUCUAUCGCGGUCGUUUUCCCUCUCACCUCCGCCUAGCCACUCUUCACAGCCACCUAGACAUUCACGCGUCUGUGGCCGUUCGAUCGCGAUCACGUGGUCGAAAACGGAGUCGGAUUCGGAUAACCCUAGCCCCCUUUCCUAUUUAAUCUCCUCCUCCUCUCAUUUUGGACAGCCAAUCCCCCUUGCCUCGUUUUCCGUGCAAACCUAACCCUAGUCUAUCCACCUUUUCCACCUUUCAGAUCUGAUCUAGCCUCUCCAUCGAUCUAGACCGUUGGAUCGGAGAUCCAACGGAUGAAAAUACUCUUGAGCCUUCCAUGGAGCUCCUCCCGUGUCUCUCCUCGUGCCCGAGCUCCUUCCUCCCGAGCAUGGCCGCAGCUCCUCCCCGCUGCCGGAGCACCACCGGCCAGGCAGCAGCAGCCGUCGGAGCUUCUUCGCCGGGCCACCACCUUCUCCUCCCCUUUCCUCUCUCCUUCCUCUCCCUCUCCUUCCCUGCCUCGUCCUCACCUUCUUCUUCUUCUUUGCAGGUUCAAUGGCCGUCGUUGAGCUCGCCUGUGCGCCUCUCCAUGUCCUAUCUCUGGCCAGAUCCGGGAUGGAGCUGCCAGAUCCGCUCGUUCCCAUGCUCCUGUGGCCGCCCUCGCCCCAACCAGCCUCGUCACCCGGUUGCCGGCGCGUUCGUGCAUCUCCAUGGCCGACGGGAUCGGUUCCCCUGUAAGCUUCGUUCUGAAUCUGUUGCCUAGAGGUAAUAUAUGUUAGACGCUGACUUUAAUCAUGUGUUCAACGCUAGCUGAGUUGGCUAGGGCAGCCGAUCCCAUCUCCUAGCACCAGCAGGUCGAGGGUUCAAGUCCCCGUGAAUGCAUGUUUUUUAUAUGCAUUUUUUUCCUCUUGAGGAUGACCUCCUUCCUUUAUUUUAGUGUCUGUCCAGCCACUAUUAUUUCACAAACACUCGGUAGCCCAAUUGAUCAACUUUUGUUAGCAACCAUUGGAGUCCUGGGAUCAAAUCCCAGUGUCCUCCUUUUUUUUUGCUUUCGGGAAGAUUCUUUUUAGCUUUUGUAAAAUCCAUAUAAAUUCAACCGUGCGUCGGAUUGCGACAAGUUAGAUAUGUAACUCGUGUACAAUUUCGCGUAGAUUACGAAUUUGUAACUUGCAUAAAUGUUUGAAAUAGUUUGACCCGCCGAAUCCCUACAAACGCGUGCUGACCUAUUAUGUUUUGUCCCGUAUUAAUUUUCUCGUGCGUGUCUGGACUGUCCGUAUACCGGAGAUUAAAUGUCCAUGUUUUAGGGACCAUUUUUCCAUGAAUGUUAGAGCGGUCAUUGGUAUUUUUGCGUGUAGGGUUUGCCGGUAGUUUAUUUUCCAGUAUAUAGGUGAUUAUCUCGCAUUAAUGUGUGGCAUUAUUUUGUGUUGCAACCCCACAUAUUUUAUAUGUUUUCGGGGUAGAAAAAUACCAUGGAUUUUUAUGUGCAAUUAGUUUUGCCAUUAGAGCAAGUUAGUUCGUGAGAUAUUUUGCCAUGUUGCCCUUUUGUUUAAUUCGUAGGAUUUAUUCCGUGCGUUGUUUGACGGAGUUGUCAACUAGAGAGUUGAUCUUGGAUGUUUUGUUUAGCCUCUGGUAUUUUUAGUUGUAAUAGAAAUGCAUGUUUAGGUGUGUUUUUCUUGCUCGUAAGUUGCUAGAAAUAGUGCUGUUUUAGGGGUGCUGAAAUAUUUCUAAGUCUGGAAUCUGUUAUAUUUUGUUGCUGUCUUGUCUUGCUUGCAUCUUGUGAUCUGUAGCUCUUUUGAGGUUGGUCCAAUGGAGUUAGUUGUACCCCUUGUGUUUCUCUAGCAUGCUGUGAAUUUUCAUGCCAUUUGGAGACCUCUGGCUUAGGAUUUUGCUGCUGUCAAUAUGCCUUCAGGCUGAAAACUGCACUUUCAUGAUGUGUUAUUUUCACUAAGUCUGAAAUAGUGUGUGAGAUGCCAUUUUGUGUCUUCUUUUCCUAGUGCUCCUUGCUGCCAUGCUAGUUGUUGUUAGCUGUUCGUAGUAAUGCUUCUUUCCCUCUUCCAUGCCAUGCCUUACUUGAGCAUAUCGGAGUUGUGUAGCCGUAGUUGUGGGGCGUAGAAAAUGGUAUGUGGCUGAUUUUGGCAGAUUGUAGUGUUUUCUUGUUAUGCUCGUAGUUUUCGAACCGUAGCUCCGUUUUUUCUUGCUUAGAAUCUCGUGUAGUUUCAUUUUCUCUUGCUGUUUGUAUGUGUUGAAGUGCUCGUAGCCGCCGUUGCACACAUUUUUGCAUUCAUGCUAUCAUAUCUUGCGGUGCUUGUAUCUUUUGAUCCGUAGCUCCGUUGGAGAUGUUCUUUAUGUGUAGAUUGCUUGCCUUGAUGCGUAGAAUCAUGUGAACCUAUUUGUUUUGCGGUUUAACAACUAAUCAAAUGCAUUAGUUCAGAUCUGGACAGAAUUGUAAAUUAACAUGUGAGGUCGUCUCGGAGAUGCUAUAUGUCAUUUCGGACCUCACUUAAAAUGCCUAGAUAGGUAGUUUAACUUCCGCUUCACCUCUUACAUGUUUGACAACAUUAAUAUUACCGUGUAGAUAACCGGGAGUGAACUAAAUAAUUAACGUGGAAUUUCGUCAAUAUGCAACUCGUUGCAUAUUGAACUUCACUUAAUGUGUAGUUUUGAUUGUGUGAAUUUGUCAUGCCGUGACUUGCAUGUAUUUAGCUGUUCAUGCAUCAUAUGUGUUGUGCUUCGUGUGGUGAAUAUCGUGUGUUGAUGCUUGUUUCCGGUUUCCCCGUCUCGAUAGAGUUCCGCAAGCGAGUCGGAUGUGAGGACCCGUUCGACUACAUCGGUUCGUCUGCUUCACGGAGGCAUUCUUCUUCCAAGCGGGAUCUCAGGCAAGAUGAUCAUUUCCCCAGAUACCAUUACUAUCAUUGUCAUGCUAGUUAUUUCGAUGCUAUCGCUUAUGUCUCGUUGCCUACCACUGUUAAUUAUCAGCCUCUCAACAAUGCCAUGAAACCUUCAACCUCUUCAACCUAGCAAACCACUGAUUGGCUAGGUUACUGCUUGCUUAACCAUGUUGAUAGCGUUACUAGUUGCAGGUGCAGAUGCUUCCAUGCGAAAGCAUGGGUUCCUUGUUAUAUCACCAUAUUUAACUGCUAUUUAAUUUAAUGCACCUAUAUACUUGGUAAAAGGUGGAAGGCUCGGCCUUUCUAGCCUGGUGUUUUGUUCCACCUUUGCCCCUUUUAGUUACCGGCUACCGGUGUUAUGUUCCAUAAAUGAGCGCUCCUAACACGAUCGGGGUUGUUAUGGGGACCCCCUUGAUAAUUCGUUUUAGAUUAAAGCUGGUCUGGCAAGGCCCAACAUUGGUACUACAUUUGCCUAAUCACCUAAUAAAUUGCAUAGGGACCCGCCGGCACCCGCGGACUAUUUUAAUCAACCCCCGGGCCAGUGCUCCUCAUGAGUGUUGGUCCAAAACAGAGCAGCUUAUUAACGCUACCCGGGGCAACUCGGCGUUUGGCGUGGUAACCAUAGCUCAUCCGUCGUGUCCUGAGAACGAGGUACGCGACUCCUAUCGGGAUCAUCGACACGUCGGGCGGCCUUGCUGGAUUAGUUUUACCUUUGACGAAAUAUCUUGUGCAUCGGGAUUCCGGUGAUGCUUUGGGUAAUCUCAGAGUUGAGGUUUUCCACCAGGGAAUCCGUCGAGAUCGCGAGCUUCGUGAUUGAGGAUUUCUAUGCGGCUUGUGGUAAUUUGUGAUGGACUAGUUGGAGCACCCCUGCAGGGUUAAAUCUUUCGGAAAGCCAUGCCCGCGGUUAUGUGGAACAUGGAAGCUUGCAUGCNNNNNNNNNNNNNNNNNNNNNNNNNNNNNNNNNNNNNNNNNNNNNNNNNNNNNNNNNNNNNNNNNNNNNNNNNNNNNNNNNNNNNNNNNNNNNNNNNNNNCCCCCAAACCCAAAACCUUACGUACCAACGUUCGGUUUUGGGGGGGGAGAGUCCCUCCCCCUUGGCUCGGCCGACCCCCUUGAGGGUCCUUGGACCCCAAGGCAAGGCCCCUCCCUCCCACCUAUAUAUACGGAGGUUUUAGGGCUGAUUUGAGACGACUUUUCCACGGCAGCCCGACCACAUACCUCCACGGUUUUUCCUCUAGAUCGCGUUUCUGCGGAGCUCGGGCGGAGCCCUGCUGAGACAAGGUCAUCACCAACCUCCGGAGCGCCGUCACGCUGCCGGAGAACUCUUCUACCUCUCCGCCUCUCUUGCUGGAUCAAGAAGGCCGAGAUCAUCGUCAAGCUGUACGUGUGCUGAACGUGGAGGUGCCGUCCGUUCGGUACUAGAUCGUGGGACUGAUCGCGGAAUUGUUCGCGGGGCGGAUCGAGGGACGUGAGGACGUUCCACUACAUCAACCGCGUUCUCUAACGCUUCUUCUGUACGGUCUACAAGGGUACGUAGAUCACUCAUCCCCUCUCGUAGAUGGACAUCACCAUGAUAGGUCUUCGUGCGCGUAGGAAAAUUUUUGUUUCCCUUGCGACGUUCCCCAACAGUGGCAUCAUGAGCUAGGUUCAUGCGUAGAUGUCUUCUCGAGUAGAACACAAAAGGUUUUGUGGGCGGUGAUGUGCGUUUUGCUGCCCUCCUUAGUCUUUUCUUGAUUCCGCGGUAUUGUUGGAUCGAAGCAGCUUGGACCGACAUUACUCGUACGCUUACGAGAGACUGGUUUCAUCGUUACGAGUAACCCCCUUUGCUCAAAGAUGACUGGCAAGUGACGGUUUCUCCAACUUUAGUUGAAUCGGAUUUGACCGAGGAGGUCCUUGGAUGAGGUUAAAUAGCAACUCAUAUAUCUCCGUUGUGGUGUUUGCGUAAGUAAGAUGCGAUCCUACUAGAUACCCUUGGUCACCACGUAAAACAUGCAACAACAAAAUUAGAGGACGUCUAACUUGUUUUUGCAGGGUAUGAUUGUGAUGUGAUAUGGCCAAUGAUGUGAUGUGAUAUAUUGGAUGUAUGAGAUGAUCAUGUUGUAAUAGAAAUAUCGACUUGCACGUCGAUGGUACGGCAACCGGCAGGAGCCAUAGGGUUGUCUUUAUACUAACAUAUGUGCUUGCAGAUGCGUUUACUAUUUUGCUAGGAUGUAGCUUUAGUAGUGAUAGCAUAAGUAGCACGACAACCCCGAUGGCAGCACGUUGAUGGAUGAUCAUGGUGUGGCGCCGGUGACAAGAAGAUCGUGCCGGUGCUUUGGCGAUGGAGAUCAAGAAGCACGAGAUGAUGGCCAUAUCAUGUCACUUAUGAAUUGCAUGUGAUGUUAAUCCUUUUAUGCACCUUAUUUUGCUUAGAACGACGGUAGCAUUAUGAGGUGAUCUCUCACUAAAAUUUCAAGACGAAAUUGUGUUCUCCCCGACUGUGCACCGUUGCUACAGUUCGUCGUUUCGAGACACCACGUGAUGAUCGGGUGUGAUAGACUCAACGUUCACAUACAACGGGUGCAAAACAGUUGCGCACGCGGAACACUCGGGUUAAGCUUGACGAGCCUAGCAUGUGCAGACAUGGCCUCGGAACACAUGAGACCGAAAGGUCGAGCAUGAAUCGUAUAGUUGAUAUGAUUAGCAUAGAGAUGCUUACCACUGAAACUAUUCUCGACUCACGUGAUGAUCGGACUUGAGAUAGUGGAUUUGGAUCAUGUACCACUCAAAUUACUAGAGAGAUGUACUUUUUGAGUGGGAGUUCUUAAGUAAUAUGAUUAAUUGAACUAAUUGUCAUGAACAUAGUCUAAUGGUCUUUGCGAAUUAUGAUGUAGCUUGCGCUAUAGCUCUACCUUUUUUAUAUGUUCCUAGAGAAAAUUUAGUUGAAAAUUGAUAGUAGCAAACUUUGCAGACUGAGUCUGUAAAACCGAGGAUUGUCCUCGUUGCUACGCAGAAGGCUUAUGUCCUUAAUGCACCACUCGGUGUGCUGCACCUCGAGCGUCGUCUGUGGAUGCUAUGAACAUCCGACAUACACGUUGCUGAUGACUACACGAUAGUUCAGUGCAAAAUACUUAAUGGCUUAGAAGCAAGGCGUCGAAAACGUUGUAAAACGUCACGGAACAUAAGUGAUGUUCUAAAGAGAUGAAAUUUGUGAUUUCAUGCUUGUGCCCUUGUUAAGAGGUACGAGACCUCCGACAAGAUUCUUUGUCCACAAACCACAGGAGAAAAGGCUCAAUCGUUGAGCAUGUGCUCAGAUUGUCUGAGUACGACAAUCGCUUGAAUCAAGUGGGAGUUAAUCUUCCAGAUGAGAUAGUGAUAGUUCUCCAAAGUCACUGCCACCAAGCUGUGAGAGCUUCGUGAUGAACUAUAACAUAUCAAGGAUACAUACAAUGAUCCUUGAGCGAUUCACGAUGUUUGACACUGCGAAAGUAGAAAUCAAGAAGGAGCAUCAAUAGUUGAUGGUUUGUGAAACCACUAAGUUUCAAGAAAGGCAAGGGCUAGAAGGGAUACUUCGUGAAACGGCAAAACAGUUGCUGCACUGAUGAAGAGACCCAAGAUUGAACCCAAACCCAAGACUAAGUGCUUCUAUAAUGAGGGGAACAAUCACCGAGGCGGAGCAACUCAAGAUACUUGGUAAAUAAGAAGGCUGGCAAAAGUCGAAAGAAGAGUGUUUGAUGUGCAUGAUGUUGAUGUGUACUUUACUAGUACUCCUAGUAGCACGAGGGUAUUGGAUACCGGUUCGGUUGCUAAGUGAUUAGUGACGCGAAAUGAAAGCUACGGCAUAAACGGAGACUAGCUAAAGGCGAGGUGACAAUACGUGUUGGAAGUGUUUCCAAGAUUGAUAUGAUCAAACGUCGCAUGCUCCCUCUACCAUCGGGAUUGGUGUUAAACCUAAAUAAUUGUUAUUUGGUGCUUGCGUUAAGCAUGAACAUGAUUGGAUCGUGUUUAUCGCAAUACGAUUGUUCAUUUAAGGAGAAUAAUGGUUACUCUAUUCUCUUGAAUAUUCACCUUCAAUGGUUUAUUGAAUCUCGAUCGUAGUGUUACACAUGUUCAUGAUAUUGGUGCCAAAAGAUACGAGUUAAUGAUGAUAGUACCACUUACUUGUGGCUCUGCCGCUUGAGUCAUGUUAGUAUAAAUUGCAUGAAGAGGCUCCAUGCUGAUGGAUCUUCGUACUCACCUCAUUUCAAAUCACUAGUGACAUGCAAAUCAUACCACAUGAGCAAGGCCUUGUUUUCAUUGAGAUGAAAUAAGAUAGUAACUUGUUGGAAGUGAUACAUUUUGAUGUAUGCAGUCCAAUGGGUGCUGAGGCACGUAGUGGAUAUCAUUAUGUUCUUACUUCACUGACGAUUUGAGUAGAUACAGGAGUAUUUACUUAAUGAAUCACAAGUCUGAAAUGUUGAAAAGUUCAAUUCCGUUUCAGAGUGAAGUUCGUCGUAACAAGAGGAUAAACUGUCUACGAUAUGAUCAUGGAAAUGAAUAUCUGAGUUACGAGUUUUGGUACACAGUUAAGACAAUGUGGAAAUUGUUUCGCAGUUCAUGCCACCUGGAACAUCAUAGUGUGAUGAUGUGUCUGAACGUCAUAGCCACGCACUAUUUGGUAUGGUGCAUACUAUGAUGUCUCUUAUCGAAUUACCACUAUCGUUUAUGGGUUAUGCAUUAGAGACAACCGCACUCACUUUAAAUAGGGCACCGCAUAUUUCCGUUGAGAUGACACAGUAUAGACUGAGGUUUAGAGAAAUCUAAACUGUCGUUUCUUGAAAGUUUGGGGCUUCGACACUUAUGUGAAGAAGUUUCAGUCUGAUAAGCUCGAACCCAAAGCGGAUAAAUGCAUCUUCAUAAGGAUAUCCAAAACAGUUGGGUACAUCUCCUAUCUCAGAUUCGAAAGCAAAGUGUUUGUUUCUAGAAACGGAUCCUUUCUCGAGGAAAGGUUUCUCUCGAAAGAAUUGAGUGGGAGGGUAGUAGAACUUGAUGAGGUUGUUGAACCAUCACUUCAACCAGUGUAUAGCAGGGCGCAGGAAGUUGUUCAUGUGGCGCCUACACCAAUUGAAGUGGAAGCUGAUGAUGAUGAUCAUUGAGCUUCGAAUCAAGUUACUACAAACCUCGUAGGUCGACAAGGUCGCGUACUGCUGCAGAGUAGUACGGUAACCCUGUCUUGGAGGUCAUGUUGUUGAGCAACAGUGAACCUACGAGUUAUGGAGAAAGCGAUGGUGGGCCCAGAUUCCGACAAAUGGCUGGAAGCCAUGAAAUCCGAGAGAGGAUCCAUGUGUGAAAACAAAGUGUAGACUUUGGUAGAACUACUUGAUGGUCAUAGGACUAUUGAGUAAAAUGGAUCUUUAAAAGAAGACAGACGAUGAUGGUGAUAAGUCACUAUUAAGAAACGCUCGACUUGUCGCAAAGAUGUUUUCGAUAAGAUCAAACAGUUGACUAUGAUGAGACUUUCUCACUCGUAGCGAUGCUAAAAGUCUGUUAGAAUUAUGUUAGUUGUUGAUGCAUUAUUUAUGAAAUAUUGCACGUAGGAUGUCAAAACAUUGUUUUCUCGACGGUUUCCUUGAGCAAACAUUGUAUGUGAUACAACUAGAAGGUUUUGUAGAUCCUAAAGAUACUAGCAAGUAUGCAAGCUCCAGUGAUCCUUCAAUGGACUGGUGCAAGCAUCUCAGAGUUGGAAUAUACACUUUGAUGAGAUGAUCAAAGAUUUUGGGUUUGUACAAGGUUUAUGAGAAACUUGUAUUUCCAAAGAAGUGAGUGGGAGCACUAUAGAAUUUCUGAUAAGUAUAUGUGGUUGACAUAUUGUGGAUCAGAAGUAAUGUAGAAUUUCUGUAAAGCAUACAAGGUUGUUUGAAAGAAGUUUUCAAAGGAAUACCUGGAUUACGCUACUUGAACGUUGAGCAUCAAAGAUCUAUGGAGAUUGAUCGAAAGCGCUUAAUAGAAGUUUCAACAAGAUGCAUGCCUUGACAAGUUUUUGAAAGAGUUCAAAAUAGACCAGCAAAGAAGGAGUUCUUGGUUGCGUUGUGAGGUGUGAAUUUGAGUAAGACUCAAAACCCGACCACGGCAGAAUAAAGAGAAUAGACGAAGGUCGUCUUCUAUGCCUUAGCCGUAGAAUCUAAAGUAUGCCAUGCUGUGUACCGCACCUGAAGUGUGCCUUGACUCAAAGUGUGUUAAGAGGUACAGAGAGUGAUCCAUGAUUGAAUCACUAGCAGCGGUCGAAAUUUAUCCUUAGUGACUAAUGGACUAAGGAAUUUUUCUCGAUUAUGGAGGUGGUUAAAGAGUUUGUCGUAAAGGGUUACGUCAAUGCAAGCUUUGACACUAAUCCGGAUAACUAUGAGUAGUGAAACGGAUUCGUAUAGUAGAGCAGAUAUUUGGAGCAUUUCCGAAUAGCGCGUAGUAGCAGCAUCUAUAAGAUGACAUAAAGAUUUGUAAAGAACGCACGAAUCUGAAAGUUUCAGAACCGUUGACUAAAACCUCUCUCACGAGCAAGACGUGAUCAGACCCCAUAACUAUAUGGGUGUUGGAUUCGUUGGAAUCACAUGGUGAUGUGAACUAGAUUAUUGACUCUAGUGCAAGUGGGAGACUGUUGGAAAUAUGCCCUAGAGGCAAUAAUAAAUUAGUUAUUAUUAUAUUUCUUAGUUCAUGAUAAUCGUUUAUUAUCCAUGCUAUAAUUGUAUUGAUUGGAAACACAAUACUUGUGUGGAUACAUAGACAAAACACUGUCCCUAGUAAGCCUCUAGUUGACUAGCUCGUUGAUCAAAGAUGGUCAAGGUUUCCUGGCCAUAGGCAAGUGUUGUCAGUUGAUAACGGGAUCACAUCAUUAGGAGAAUCAUGUGAUGGACUAGACCCAAACUAAUAGACGUAGCAUGUUGAUCGUGUCAUUUUGUUGCUACUGUUUUCUGCGUGUCAAGUAUUUGUUCCUAUGACCANNNNNNNNNNNNNNNNNNNNNNNNNNNNNNNNNNNNNNNNNNNNNNNNNNNNNNNNNNNNNNNNNNNNNNNNNNNNNNNNNNNNNNNNNNNNNNNNNNNNGGUGUUUGCGUAAGUAAGAUGCGAUCCUACUAGAUACCCUUGGUCACCACGUAAAACAUGCAACAACAAAAUUAGAGGACGUCUAACUUGUUUUUGCAGGGUAUGAUUGUGAUGUGAUAUGGCCAACGAUGUGAUGUGAUAUAUUGGAUGUAUGAGAUGAUCAUGUUGUAAUAGAAAUAUCGACUUGCACGUCGAUGGUACGGCAACCGGCAGGAGCCAUAGGGUUGUCAUUAUACUAACGUUUGUGCUUGCAGAUGCGUUUACUAUUUUGCUAGGAUGUAGCUUUUGUAGUAAUAGCAUGAGUAGCACGACAACCCCGAUGGCGACACGUUGAUGGAGAUCAUGAGGAUGGAGAUCAUGGUGUGACGCCGGUGACAAGAAGAUCGUGCCGGUGCUUUGGUGAUGGAGAUCAAGAAGCACAUGAUGAUGGCCAUAUCAUGUCACUUAUGAAUUGCAUGUGAUGUUAAUCCUUUUAUGCACCUUAUUUUGCUUAGAACGACGGUAGCAUUAUGAGGUGAUCUCUCACUAAAAUUUCAAGACGAAAUUGUGUUCUCCCCGACUGUACACCGUUGCGACAGUUCGUCGUUUAGAGACACCACGUGAUGAUCGGGUGUGAUAGACUCAACGUUCACAUACAACGGGUGCAAAACAGUUGCGCACGCGGAACACUCGGGUUAAGCUUGACGAGCCUAGCAUGUGCAGACAUGGCCUCGGAACACAUGAGACCGAAAGGUCGAGCAUGAAUCGUAUAGUUGAUAUGAUUAGCAUAGAGAUGCUUACCACUGAAACUAUUCUUGACUCACGUGAUGAUCGGACUUGAGAUAGUGGAUUUGGAUCAUGUACCACUCAAAUGACUAGAGAGAUGUACUUUUUGAGUGGGAGUUCUUAAGUAAUAUGAUUAAUUGAACUAAUUGUCAUGAACAUAGUCUAAUGGUCUUUGCGAAUUACGAUGUAGCUUGCGCUAUAGCNNNNNNNNNNNNNNNNNNNNNNNNNNNNNNNNNNNNNNNNNNNNNNNNNNNNNNNNNNNNNNNNNNNNNNNNNNNNNNNNNNNNNNNNNNNNNNNNNNNNUUUCCUCGACGGUUUCCUUGAGCAAACAUUGUAUGUGAUACAACCAGGAGGUUUUGUCGAUCCUAAAGAUACUAGCAAGUAUGCAAGUUCCAGCGAUCCUUCAAUGGACUGGUGCAAGCAUCUCGGAGUUGGAAUAUAUAUACUUUGAUGAGAUGAUCAAAGAUUUUGGGUUUGUACAAGGUUUAUGAGAAACUUGUAUUUCCAAAGAAGUGAGUGGGAGCACUAUAGAAUUUCUGAUAGGUAUAUGUGGUUGACAUAUUGUGGAUCAGAAGUAAUGUAGAAUUUCUGUAAAGCAUACAAGGUUGUUUGAAAGAAGUUUUCAAAGGAGUACCUGGAUUACGCUACUUGAACGUUGAGCAUCAAAGAUCUAUGGAGAUAGAUCAAAAGCGCUUAAUAGAAGUUUCAACAAGAUGCAUGCCUUGACAAGUUUUUGAAGGAGUUCAAAAUAGAUCAGUAAAGAAGGAGUUCUUGGUUGCAUUGUAAGGUGUGAAUUUGAGUAAGACUCAAAACCUGACCACGGCAGAAUAAAGAGAAUAGACGAAGGUCGUCUUCUAUGCCUUAGCCGUAGAAUCUAAAGUAUGCCAUGUUGUGUACCGCACCUGAUGUGUGCCUUGACUCAAAGUCUGUUGAGAGGUACAGAGAGUGAUCCAUGAUUGAAUCACUAGCAGCGGUCGAAAUUUAUCCUUAGUAACUAAUGGACUAAGGAAUUUUUCUCGAUUAUGGAGGUGGUUAAAGAGUUUGUCGUAAAGGGUUACGUCAAUGCAAGCUUUGACACUAAUCCGGAUAACUAUGAGUAGUGAAACGGAUUCGUAUAGUAGAGUAGAUAUUUGGAGCAUUUCCGAAUAGCACGUAGUAGCAGCAUCUAUAAGAUGACAUAAACAUUUGUAAAGAACGCACGAAUCUGAAAGUUUCAGAACCGUUGACUAAAACCUCUCUCACGAGCAAGACGUGAUCAGACCCCAUAACUAUAUGGGUGUUGGAUUCGUUGGAAUCACAUGGUGAUGUGAACUAGAUUAUUGACUCUAGUGCAAGUGGGAGACUGUUGGAAAUAUGCCCUAGAGGCAAUAAUAAAUUAGUUAUUAUUUUAUUUCUUAGUUCAUGAUAAUCGUUUAUUAUCCAUGCUAUAAUUGUAUUGAUUGGAAACACAAUACUUGUGUGGAUACAUAGACAAAACACUGUCCCUAGUAAGCCUCUAGUUGACUAGCUCGUUGAUCAAAGAUGGUCAAGGUUUCCUGGCCAUAGGCAAGUGUUGUCACUUGAUAACGGGAUCACAUCAUUAGGAGAAUCAUGUGAUGGACUAGACCCAAACUAAUAGACGUAGCAUGUUGAUCGUGUCAUUUUGUUGCUACUGUUUUCUGCGUGUCAAGUAUUUGUUCCUAUGACCAUGAGAUCAUAUAACUCACGGACACCGGAGGAAUGCUUUGUGUGUAUCAAACGUCGCAACGUAACUGGGUGACUAUAAAGNNNNNNNNNNNNNNNNNNNNNNNNNNNNNNNNNNNNNNNNNNNNNNNNNNNNNNNNNNNNNNNNNNNNNNNNNNNNNNNNNNNNNNNNNNNNNNNNNNNNCGUUCCAGCGCCACCGGCUGGGUCGCCUGGGGCAUCAACCCCGGCGGCGCCGGCAUGGCCGGCAGCAACGUCUUCCUCGCCUCGCAGGGCGGCGGCGGCGGCGCCGCCGUCUCCGUGCUCACCACCGUCCUGAGGAGCACGGCCCCGGCCCUGGACAACACCACCCUCCAGUUCGGCGUGCCGGUGCCGCCCACCGCCGAGUACGCGGCCGGCGCCUACACGAUCUACGUGACGGUGGCGCUGCCGGGGAACUCCACGCAGCAGAACACGGUGUGGCAGGCGGGGCCGGUCAGCGGCGGGGCCAUAAUGCCGCACCCGGUGUCCGGGCCCAACUUGCAGAGCGUUAAGAGGCAGGACUUCCUGUCCGGCUAGAGCGCCCGACGAGGCAUAUGUUUGUACGCAAAUACUGUCAGUGUCAUGAUCAUGGAGUAUAAAAUAAAUCGCACGGCUUAUUCCUCAUGUUCCUGCUAUUAGACGUCGACGUCGUAUCAAAUGAAGUGUGCGCUAAACACUGUUUAUACGCUCCCAGCCGGAUUUAGGGACAUGGCUUACGGCGAUUAGUAUUUUUUUUCCGACGAAUUCACAAAGCUUUAUUAAUACUAGCAAAAGGGCCCGUGCGUUGCAACGGGAGAAAGAAAAUACCACACGCUUUUAAUCUUUUUAUAAUCAUUUUGAUUUAUUAGAAUAAUAAGUUAACUAACUAAUGUAGCCAGUCCUAUCCUAUUUUGUUGAGAAAUCAACCCGUCCAUUGUUAAUUCCACCGUGAUGAGAAAUCGAACGGGACAAGCAAAGCAAAACAAAGAGGCUACGUGAAUUGAUCAAUGGACUGUUAUCUUAUUUCACCCAUGGGGUAGAGAAUGUGGGAUCAGAUGACAAACUGAAGGUGGUGUUCCAUUUUCUCUCUCUACAACAAUGCAAUCUUACAUUCAAUACAUUCAUUCAUCAGCAAAAAAAUUCUCACAAAACAAAAUUUCUUGCCGGUGCUUGGCACACGGUUGGAGAGCAUGGGGAGGGGAUCUCACCAAAUGAUGAGUUCCUGCCGGAGGAGGGGAUACGAUGAGGGGAGCAAGGGUUAGGCGCCUCUAUCUGGCCAUAAGGAGUCGCCGUUGCCGCGCCAUAACCUCGGAGUUCCCCGUGUGAGCCAUGGAGGCCCGCCUCCACCUGCAAGUACUUCGCUCCGCCGCGCCUUAUCCGCACGCCGUCGCCGUUCUGCAUCGAGUAGACGCAUCAUCCCAAGUCGAUGUAGCUGUCGCGUUGAUUUGAUCCAGAAGCUGUGCUCGAGCGCCGAAACAGGGGCAACAAACGGGCAGAGGUACGACCGCGGAGGCGGCUGGGUUGAGAUCGACAACAAUGGUGGUUGAGGUCGGCCGCGGCGACGAGUGGUGUGGCAGCGGCCUGGGCACAGGCCAGGGUGGACCAGGGUCAACGCGAUGCGCUCGAGCGCCGCAACGGGGGCAGUGAGCGGGGAGAGGUACAACCGCGGAGGCGGGUGGGUUGAGAUCGGCAGCGGUGGCGGUUGAGGUCGGCCGCGACGGCGAGUGGUGUGGCGGCCGCCUAGGCAUAGGCCAGGGGUGGCCGAGGGUCGAUGGGAGGAGGCGGUGCGUACGGGUAUAAUUUUUGCAGCGAAUCGUUUUUUCCUUUUGCGAUUACGAGAAGUAAAUGAUGGAGUGCGGGUUGAAUAACAAAAAUUACAGUUUUUUWWUAAAAUGCCAUGAUGGGUUUUCCGACGGAAGCAAUAGCCGCUUUAUUAUUAGGUAUAGACUAGCAAAAGGUCCGUGGUUGCAACGGAAGAAAAAAUAUCACACGGUUUUAAUUUUUAUAAUCAUUUUAAUUUAUUAAAAUAAUAAGCUAACUAACUAAUGUAGUAAGUCCUAUCCUAUUUUGUUGGAAAAUCAACCCGUCCAUUGUUAAUUCCAUCAUGAUGAGAAAUUGAGCGGGACAAUCAAAGCAAAACAAAGAGGCUACCUGAAUUGAUCAAUGGACUGUUAUCUUAUUUCACUCAUGGGCUAGAGAAUGUGGGAUCAGAUGACAAACUGAAGGUGGUGUUCCAUUCUCUCUCUCUACAACAACGCAAUCUUACAUUAAAUACAUUCAUUCAUCAGCAAACAAAUUCCCACAAAACAAAAUUUCGUGCCGGUGCUUGGCACACGGUUGGAGGCAUGGGGAGGGGAUCUCACCAGAUGAUGAGUUCCUGCCGGAGGAGGGGAUACAUUGAGGGGAGCAAGGGUUAGGCGCCUCUAUCUGGCCAUAAGGAGUCGCCGUUGCCGCGCCAUAACCUCGGAGUUCCCCGUGUGAGCCAUGGAGGCCCGCCUCCACCUGCAAGUACUUCGCUCCGCCGCGCCUUAUCCGCACGCCGUCGCCGUUCUGCAUCGAGUAGACGCAUCAUCCCAAGUCGAUGUAGCUGUCGCGUUGAUUUGAUCCAGAAGCUGUGCUCGAGCGCCGAAACAGGGGCAACAAACGGGCAGAGGUACGACCGCGGAGGCGGCUGGGUUGAGAUCGACAACAAUGGUGGUUGAGGUCGGCCGCGGCGACGAGUGGUGUGGCAGCGGCCUGGGCACAGGCCAGGGUGGACCAGGGUCAACGCGAUGCGCUCGAGCGCCGCAACGGGGGCAGUGAGCGGGGAGAGGUACAACCGCGGAGGCGGGUGGGUUGAGAUCGGCAGCGGUGGCGGUUGAGGUCGGCCGCGACGGCGAGUGGUGUGGCGGCCGCCUAGGCAUAGGCCAGGGUGGCCGAGGGUCGAUGGGAGGAGGCGGUGCGUACGGGUAUAAUUUUUGCAGCGAAUCGUUUUUUCCUUUUGCAUUACAGAUAAAUGAUGGAGUGCGGGUUGAAUAACAAAAAUUACAGUUUUUUUAUAAAAUGCCAUGAUGGGUUUUCCGACGGAAGCAAUAGCCGCUUUAUUAUUAGGUAUAGACUAGCAAAAGGUCCGUGGUUGCAACGGAAGAAAAAAUAUCACACGGUUUUAAUUUUUAUAAUCAUUUUAAUUUAUUAAAAUAAUAAGCUAACUAACUAAUGUAGUAAGUCCUAUCCUAUUUUGUUGGAAAAUCAACCCGUCCAUUGUUAAUUCCAUCAUGAUGAGAAAUUGAGCGGGACAAUCAAAGCAAAACAAAGAGGCUACCUGAAUUGAUCAAUGGACUGUUAUCUUAUUUCACUCAUGGGCUAGAGAAUGUGGGAUCAGAUGACAAACUGAAGGUGGUGUUCCAUUCUCUCUCUCUACAACAACGCAAUCUUACAUUAAAUACAUUCAUUCAUCAGCAAACAAAUUCCCACUAAAACAAAAUUAACUUGUCGGUCGGCGUGUCGUCGACGUACGGUACGGGUCGGANNNNNNNNNNNNNNNNNNNNNNNNNNNNNNNNNNNNNNNNNNNNNNNNNNNNNNNNNNNNNNNNNNNNNNNNNNNNNNNNNNNNNNNNNNNNNNNNNNNNUGCAAGCRAUGUAACUUAGUGUAAGUUACGGGAUCUUGUAUUACGGAACGAGUAAAGAGACUUGCCGGUAAACGAGAUUAGAAAUAGGUAUGCGGAUACUGACGAUCGAAUCGUCGGGCAAGUAACAUACCGAAGGACAAAGGGAAUGACAUACGGGAUUAUACGAAUCCUUGGCACUGAGGUUCAAACGAUAAGAUCUUCGUAGAAUAUGUAGGAUCCAAUAUGGGCAUCCAGGUCCCGCUAUUGGAUAUUGACCGAGUAGUCUCUCGGGUCAUGUCUACAUAGUUCUCGAACCCGCAGGGUCUGCACACUUAAGGUUCGACGUUGUUUUAUGCGUAUUUGAGUUAUAUGGUUGGUUACCGAAUGUUGUUCGGAGUCCCGGAUGAGAUCACGGACGUCACGAGGGUUUCCGGAAUGGUCCGGAAACGAAGAUUGAUAUAUAGGAUGACCUCAUUUGAUUACUGGAAGGUUUUCGGAGUUACCGGGAAUGUACCGGGAAUGACGAAUGGGUUCCGGGAGUUCACCGGGGGGGGCAACCCACCCCGGGGAAGCCCAUAGGCCAUAAGGGUGGAGCACCAUCCCUUAGUGGGCUGGUGGGGCAGCCCAAAAGGGCCCUAUGCGCCAAGGAUAAGAAAUCAAAGGAAAAAAAGGAGGAGGUGGGAAGGGAGGGGGACUCCCUCCCACCAAACCUAGUCCAACUCGGUUUUGGGGGGGGAGAGUCCUCCCCCUUGGCUCGGCCGACCCCCUUGAGGGUCCUUGGACCCCAAGGCAAGGCCCCUCCCUCCCACCUAUAUAUACGGAGGUUUUAGGGCUGAUUUGAGACGACUUUUCCACGGCAGCCCGACCACAUACCUCCACGGNNNNNNNNNNNNNNNNNNNNNNNNNNNNNNNNNNNNNNNNNNNNNNNNNNNNNNNNNNNNNNNNNNNNNNNNNNNNNNNNNNNNNNNNNNNNNNNNNNNNGAGAUAUAGUGAGUUGACUAUUUAACCUCAUCCAAGGACCUCCUCGGUCAAAUCCGAUUCAACUAAAGUWGGAGAAACCGUCACUUGCCAGUCAUCUUUGAGCAAAGGGGGUUACUCGUAACGAUGAAACCAGUCUCUCGUAAGCGUACGAGUAAUGUCGGUCCAAGCCGCUUCAAUCCAACAAUACCGCGGAAUCAAGAAAAGACUAAGGAGGGCAGCAAAACGCACAUCACCGCCCACAAAAACUUUUGUGUUCUACUCGAGAAGACAUCUACGCAUGAACCUAGCUCAUGAUGCCACUGUUGGGGAACGUCGCAAGGGAAACAAAAAUUUUCCUACGCGCACGAAGACCUAUCAUGGUGAUGUCCAUCUACGAGAGGGGAUGAGUGAUCUACGUACCCUUGUAGACCGUACAGAAGAAGCGUUAGAGAACGCGGUUGAUGUAGUGGAACGUCCUCACGUCCCUCGAUCCGCCCCGCGAACAAUUCCGCGAUCAGUCCCACGAUCUAGUUACCGAACGGACGGCAACCUCCACGUUCAGCACACGUACAGCUUGACGAUGAUCUCGGCCUUCUUGAUCCAGCAAGAGAGGCGGAGAGGUAGAAGAGUUCUCCGGCAGCGUGACGGCGCUCCGGAGGUUCGGUUGACUGACCCUUCGUUCCUACGUACGUCCGACGGGCGUCCCGUCCCGGACGCUGNNNNNNNNNNNNNNNNNNNNNNNNNNNNNNNNNNNNNNNNNNNNNNNNNNNNNNNNNNNNNNNNNNNNNNNNNNNNNNNNNNNNNNNNNNNNNNNNNNNNAGCAAUGUAACUUAAUGUAAGUUGCGGGAUCUUGUAUUACGGAACGAGUAAAGAGACUUGCCGGUAAACGAGAUUGAAAUAGGUAUGCGGAUACUGACGAUCGAAUCUCGGGCAAGUAACAUACCGAAGGACAAAGGGAAUGACAUACGGGAUUAUAUGAAUCCUUGGCACUGAGGUUCAAACGAUAAGAUCUUCGUAGAAUAUGUAGGAUCCAAUAUGGGCAUCCAGGUCCCGCUAUUGGAUAUUGACCGAGGAGUCUCUCGGGUCAUGUCUACAUAGUUCUCGAACCCGCAGGGUCUGCACACUUAAGGUUCGACGUUGUUUUAUGCGUAUUUGAGUUAUAUGGUUGGUUACCGGUAMUGUAGCAUCAUUCCCACUCUUCUUUUGUACUGAUUUUGUUUUUUUUCAGAUUUCUUCAUUUCAUUGUUUCCACUGUUUCGCUUUGGUUUCCUUCGAUUUUCUUCGGGUUUCUAUUCGUUUCCUUYGUUUYCYAACGGUUUUUCGUUUUUCCUCUUUGUUGUUUCUUUCUUUUUUUUCUAUGGUUUUGCAUCUUUUUUAACUCAUGUCUAUUUUUUUACACACAAUGUACAUUUUUUGUAUACAUCAGAAAUAACUUUUAUACAUGGUUAAAUAUAUGAUUACCAGUUUUCUUAAACACAUGUUUCGANNNNNNNNNNNNNNNNNNNNNNNNNNNNNNNNNNNNNNNNNNNNNNNNNNNNNNNNNNNNNNNNNNNNNNNNNNNNNNNNNNNNNNNNNNNNNNNNNNNNCGGAACGAAACGUAAAACUAAAACUUACCGUACGACCGACCGAACGAACGUAACCUACUACUAGUGGUGAUCGUCCAUCUACGAGGAGGGAGUGAGUGAUCUACGUACCUAGUAGAUCGUACAGCAGAAGCGUUAGAGAACGCGGUUGAUGUAGUGGAACGUCCUCACGUCCCUCGAUCCGCCCCGCGAACAAUCCCGCGAUCAGUCCCACGAUCUAGUACCGAACGGACGGCACCUCCGCGUUCAGCACACGUACAGCUCGACGAUGAUCUCGGCCUUCUUGAUCCAGCAAGAGAGACGGAGAGGUAGAAGAGUUCUCCGGCAGCGUGACGGCGCUCCGGAGGUUGGUGAUGAUCUUGUCUCAGCAGGGCUCCGCCCGAGCUCCGCAGAAACACGAUCUAGAGGAAAAACUAUGGAGGUAUGUGGUCGGGCAGCCGUGAGAAAGUCGUCUCAAAUCAGCCCUAAUACCUCAGUAUAUAUAGGAGGGAGGGGAGGGAAGAGGCAGCCUCAAACCCUCAAGGUUGCCGAAAUUGGAGGUGGAGGAGUCCUACUCCAAUCCUACUUGAGUAGGAUUCCACCUUCCCACUUCGAAACUACUUUCCUACCUUGUGUUUUUCUUUCUUCUAACCUUAACUUAGGUCCGUUACGUUGGGUACGUUAGUUACUACGNNNNNNNNNNNNNNNNNNNNNNNNNNNNNNNNNNNNNNNNNNNNNNNNNNNNNNNNNNNNNNNNNNNNNNNNNNNNNNNNNNNNNNNNNNNNNNNNNNNNAAGGGUUGGGUUUGAGGGAUUCUGUUAUAAGGGUUGCAUUUGAGGGUUCUAGUCUUUGCCUCAAUCCCAACCCUUAAAACUGUCAUUUGAUAUAUCAUAAUUUUCAUCAUCUCAAUAACAUCGAAUAGUAUUUUCAAACACAUAAUAUUAAUUCAAUUUAUUACAACAAUGUUUUAAAGCAAAUUAUAAUAAUUGUUUGAAUCAAAUAGAACAUGGAAAAGUAAACAAAGGUAGAUCAUGGGACUUGGCGCCGUCCAGCCAACUGCCACUGGUGCUCUACUUGAUCAUCCCGGAGCUGCCACUGGUACGCACUAAACCCCAUGAUACCGACGGCGUAUCUACGAUGCUUGAAGUAAUCUGAGUCAGCCUCACAAUCGGUGACAAUUUUUACAAACAAACUACGACACAUUCGGUACCUUCUCCGGAAGAGGCGAGGUGGGUAUGUCGGUACCUCCGCGAAGUAGUCUCGCAUCAAAUGUUCAUGUCCGAGACAGCGGUUCCGGUAGAUGGUGACUCGCGCCAUCUUCGACCCUCUCCUCUGAUCCAUCAGCUUCACGCGGUCUUCAAACUCUUUCACGUCGACGAGGAGGCCCAUCAUCUCGAUGUCAUUGUCUUGAAGCAAGUCCUCAAUGUCCGAAUCGUCCGAUGACGACCAACCGGAAUCAUCGGACAACACAUCCAUCUACACAACACAAAACAAAAAAUGUAGUGUUGUUCUGUAACAAAAAUACAGGAAACAGGGCCGGCCGGAGCCCACGAUGGAGGAGGCCGACGGUGUGGACGAGCUCAGGGCGGUGGAGGAGCUCGGGGNNNNNNNNNNNNNNNNNNNNNNNNNNNNNNNNNNNNNNNNNNNNNNNNNNNNNNNNNNNNNNNNNNNNNNNNNNNNNNNNNNNNNNNNNNNNNNNNNNNNUUUUUUUUUUUUUUUUUACAACAGUUUGCACUUUGCAGCGGCCUAGAUAUCACAGCAGGAACCGGUCUCCCUCCCUCGGUUAUUCAGCGCCUUUUUUUAGACGAAGGUUUAUCGUUCAGCAGCCAACAAGACUCUGUCCCGCGUACCGGCGUGGAAGUUUCCACCCGCACGGCAACCUCCCCAACAACCGCGCCAUCACGUCGCCGGCUCGCCGGCAGUGGUACAUAUACCUCCUCCCCCCCCACCUCCUCCUCUCACCACCACCAGCUCCCAGCACCACCAUCUCCAUCGCCUCCCGCGCUCCAUUUCGCGCCUCGAACCUCGUGCUCUGACCUCCACCGCUGCCAUGGCGCGGCCAGGCCACUCCACGGCGUGGCUCCCCGUCCUGGUGCUGCUGCUCUCCGCGGCGGGCGCGACGGCGCAGAGCUGCCUCUCCGCGACCUUCACGUCCGGCCGCACGUUCCUCAAGUGCAACCAGCUGCCCGUGCUCGGCGCCAGCCUCCACUGGACGUUCCACGCCCAGAACGGCACCGCCGACGUCGCGUUCCGGGCCCCGUCCGGCGCCGACGGGUGGGUCGCCUGGGGCAUCNNNNNN
Molecule: long non-coding RNA, 52954 nt
Filed under: Hordeum vulgare
Lineage: Eukaryota; Viridiplantae; Streptophyta; Magnoliopsida; Poales; Poaceae
Description: long non-coding RNA (HVUL_LNC010906)
Source: RNAcentral